GUAGAUAAAGGUGCUGGGGAAUCACUGAAGAGGUUGGGACUGAGCUCCUAAACCUACAUUAAGAAAAAAUGCAGAACACAGAUAAAUAUGUGGAUAAGUAUUUUGGGAAUGUAUUGAGCAUAUGGGAGUGUAUGCAAUUAAAUAAUCAAUAUCACAAGUAUUUAUAGAAAACAUGCAUGCUAUAAUAGAUGACUCACAUAGCUUGAAUAAAAUUCUCAUAAAAUGCAGAUGGAAACAAAUAAUGUAAAUCACGUGAGUUAUUUCACUUUAUUCUAAAUCUGCAUUAUUUCUUUGUUCUAAAACUUGUAGACUUAGACUAAAUCUUAAGAAAGUACCUUCUUUAAGACUCAAACAUCAUGAUUUCUUGAAAAUCUUAGAAAUCUUAGAAUCAUAACUUUCAAAAUACUUAUACUUUCAAAACUCAUGCUUUUGUCUUAAAGAGAAUAGGACUUUGGGACUUCAUAACUUUAGGAUUAGGAGUUUCUUCUAACCGACAUAAACCAUGUAAGCUACAUGGAGUCCAACGUCUUGCCCACGUUGGGGAGAGCAGUUCUAUCCUUGCCAUCGGAGUAGAACUUUUACUUCUUCGUGAUCACUAUCUUAACCCACUUGGGGUAAUUCAGAAACUUACGGAGGCACGUAGUUUUGGGGCAUGAGACCUCAAAAUCAAGACCAACUCGAUGCUAAAUAAUACUCCCUUACUUAGCUCAUAAAUUUAAGAAAAUUCACCUUAAACAUUUCAACAAUAUGUAAUGGGAGCCAAUAUGCAUCCCCUUUAUCUCAAAUAAAAAGGAUGUGGAAUUCUUUCUUAGCUUAAGAUCAAAACUCAAUUCUUUCUUGAAAUCUUGAUAGGCUUAUCAUCAAAGCUUUAAAAAUCUCAACAACAUGGAAAUAUAAGCACACUUCUUGUAAUACUUUAAAGGACAUCAAUAAUUCAUUCUCAAAACUUCACAAAAUCACAAUAGGGCUCAAUUCUUAACAACAAAUCUUGGAAAUUCUUGAAAACAUGAUAUUCAUACGGGAAUAUGCAAUUUAUAAUAUGAAUUCUCAAUUCAAAUCAUACUUAAAAUAGGAAAUCAUGCAAUUCAAGACUUGGACAAUUCUAUAAUCCCAUAAACUUGAAAUAUUGCAAAAUAAUGUGAAUUCAUCUUGAAUGUACUAAAUUCUUUACAAAAACAAAAGUUUUUGGGCACAAGAACGAAAUAGUGUUCUUGUUCAAACCCCACAUACCUUGUAAUUGAAGCUUUUGGGUGAACUCUUAACCUUAGGUUACGAAACGUGCAAUUAGUAGGUGCUUCUUAAGAUAUUUGAGUUUUUAGGUUGAAACCCUAAUGGAAGUUAUUGUGAAAUUUUGUUGAAAAUACUCUUAUUUUGGUGUCCUUGGAAUUUAAUCGUGUGUUAAAAAGGAUAGAGGGGUUGAAAUUACCUAAUUUAUCCUCAAUGACUCGGAAGAGAAGUGCAGAAAUUGGCCUAGUACGAUACCCAGGGCGGUGCCCUGCCUGCACACUGGAGUUUCUAGGGCGACGCCUUGGCUAGAGCGGUGGUAACACCAGGGCGGUGCCCCGCUUAGAGCGGGGGAGUACCCCAAGAGAUGCCCCACUAUUGCUUUUUGCUAUUGUUUUGCCAACCUAAACACGAAAUUAAGCUUGUCUAAAAAUUCAAAAUUCUCCCGAGACGUACUUGACUUUCCCUAUCGCAACGCAACAAAAAAUCAUGAAACGGAGGUCAGGAUGGUCGUGAAAUAAUUCAACGAAGAUUGAAGGUUCAAAAAUUAAACUAAGUGUUCGAACACUUAGCAAAAUUCUAAGUGUUGAGCUUCUUUUAACUUGUUUCGAAGGCUAUAUCGAUGAGGAAACUUUGCAGGGUCUUACAAUAUCUCCCACUUGGGAACAUUUGAGGAAGAAUGUCGCUAAAUAUGUCAAGAACAUAGAGAAAAUGAAGGAUACACAGUUGAAACACUCAGCUAAACUGACUUUACAUCACUCUAAACUGUUGGAUACUUCAAAGAACAUAUAAACUUCAAAGAACAUAUAGACUUAUUAUAAGAAUGGUUAUACAGCUGCAACUUUAUUAAAAACGGACUAAAUUAAGAAAGAAUGACACCUUCGUCUUGAUCUGAACUCACGAAAAAGAGGUGCGGGUCCUUGGCUCGUAUAUCAGUCUCGACCUCCCAAGUAGCACCCUCAACAGAUUGGUUCCGCCACAAAAUUUUUACCAAGGGAACUUCUUUGUUCCUUAUUCUUUGGACUUAGUAAUCUAGGAUUUCAACCAGAACCUCUUCAAAUGAAAGACUAUCCCGAACAUCAGGGCUUUCCGAAGGAUCUAUAACAAUAGAAUCACCUAUGCAGUUCUUAAACAUGGAGACAUGAAAGAUAGAAUGAAAUGCUAACAACUCUGUAGGCAACUCAACUUCAUAAGCUACUCUCCUAACACGACUUAGGAUCCUAUAAGGACAAACAUAUCAAGUUUUAAGCUUUCCCUUUUUCCCAAACCUUUUCACCUCUUUCAUGGGUGAAAUUUUCAGAUACACCAGAUCAUUAACUUUGAACUCAAGUCUUUACGUCUCGUCUCAGCAUAUGACUUUUGGCGAAUCUGAGCCGUCUUCAACAUCUCUCUAAUUAACUUUACCUUCUCCAUUGCCUCAAACACUGCGUCAGGGUAGCUUCACCCACUUCAAACCAACCUAUUGGUGAUCUACACCUACUACCAUAUAAAGCUUCAAACGGUGCCAUAUGGAUGCUAGAGUGAUAACUAUUGUUAUAGGCAAACUCAAUCAGUGAAAAGUGCUCAUCCCAACUACCUUUGAAAUCAAGAGCAUAUGCUCUCAACAUAUCCUCCAAGGUCUGGAUGGUUCUCUUAGCGUGACCAUCUAUCUGCGGAUGAAAAGCGAAAAUCAAAUUCACUUGGGUACCAAGACCCCUCUGAAAAGAUCUCCAAAACUGAGAAGUAAAUUAAGUCCCCCUAUCCAAAAUAAUAGACACAGGAACUUCAUAGAUCCUUACUAUCUCCUGAAUAUACAAUCUAGCAUAGUCCUCAGCUGUAUAGGAUGCAUGCACAGAUAAGAAAUGCGCCGAUUUAGUCAGCCUAUAAAAAAUGACCCCAAUAAAAUCAUGGUGGCAUCAGGAAAGAGGUAAACUAAUCACAAAAUCCAUAUUCACCUCUUCCCACUUCCAAGUGGGUAAACUAAACUCUUGCAUCAUGCCACCAGGUCUCUGGUGCUCUACCUUAACCUGCUGACAUGUUGCACACUUUUCCACGAACACUGCUAUAUCUUUCUUCAUACCACUCCACCAAUAAAUUUUCCACAAGCCGCGGUACAUCUUGGUAGUGCCAGGAUGAAUGGAAUAUCACAUGCCAUACACUUUAUCUAUAAUUUUCUAACCCAGAUUAUCAACAUUAGGAACACACAGUCUACCUUACAACCUCAACAUAUCAUCUCUCCUUUGGGAGAAAACCUCUACUUUCUGGUCCUUGAUUGACUCCGUCAGUAUGACCAAACUAGCAUCUCAGUCUUGCUUCUCCUUCACUUCCAAAAUGAAGGAGGAUUUGGAACUACUUUGCACUAACAUACUCCCCUCAAUAGAAUAAAGCAGCCUAACACCCAACCUAGCCAAACGAUGCACAUCACGAGCUAACUCUUUCUUACCUCUCUUCAGAUGUGAAACACUACCCAUAUACAAACUGCUAAGGGCAUCUUCCACUACAUUAUCCAUGCUUGGAUGAUACAACAUGCCCAUAUCAUAGUCUUUUAACAAUUCUAACCACCCCAUCUGCCUAAGAUUCAACUCUUUCUAAAUCAACACAUAAUGCAGGCUUUUAUGAUCAGUAAAAACAUCUACAUGCACACCAUACAAACAAUGUCUCCAAAUCUUCAGGUUAAACACCACAGCAGCUAACUCAAGAUCAUGGGUUGGGCAAUUCUUCUUAUGAGGUUUCAACAAUAUAGAGGCAUAGGCUAUAACUUUACCCCUCUGUAUCAACACAUAACCCAAAAACAACUUUAGAAGUGUCACAAUACACCAUAAAACCAUCUACACCAUCAGGCAAAGUCAACAUAGGAGUUGAAGUGAGUCAAGUCUUCAACUUCUGAAAACUCUUAGGAAUCUAAUCAAAGGAACUUAACUUUAUUUUGGGUCAAUCGAGUCAUGGGAGAUGCUAUAGAAGAGAAACCUUUGACGAAGCGGUGAUAAUAGCCAGCUAGACCCAAGAAACUCCUAAUAUCAGACGGAGAGAUAGGUCUAGGCCAAUUUCUUACAGCUUCUAUCUUUUGGGGAUCAACUCUAAUACCUUCAGCUGAAAUAAUAUGACCCAAAAAAGCAACUAACCUUAGCCAAAAUUUGUACUUACUAAAUUUAGUGAAAAAUUGGUGAUCUCUAAGAGUUUGUAAGAUAUUUCUAAGAUAAUCAGCAUGGUCAUCCUUACUUUGGGAAUACACAAGAAUAUCAUCUAUGAAAACAAUGAAAAACAUAUUUAGAUACUGCUUGAACACUUAAUUCAUGAGGUCCAUGAAGGCUGUUGGAGCAUUGGUAAGCCCGAAAGUCAUAACAAGAAACUUAAAAUGACCAUAAUGGGUUCUAAAGGUUGUCUUCAACAUGUCACACUCCCUUAACUUGAGUUGGUGAUAGCCGAAUCUAAGGUCUAUCUUGGAGAAAUAACUUGCACCUUAGAUUUGGUAAAAUAAAUCAUCAAUUCUAGGAAGAGGGUACUUGUUCUUGACUGUGACUUUAUUAAGCUGGCGAUAGUCAAUGCAUAUACGCAAAGAACUAUUUUUUUCUGCAUGAAUAGAAAAGGUGUCCACCAAAGAGAUACGUUGGGCCUUAUAAAACCUUUGUCUAAAAGAUCUUUGAGUUGUUCUUUCAACUCCUUAAGCUUCGUGGGUGCCAUACGAUAAGGAGGAACAGAAAUAGGCUGAUGUCGAAAAGAAGAUCAAUCCCGAAUUCUAUCUCUCUAUCAGGAUGUACUCCUGGGAGAUCUUUUAGAAAAACAUCAAGAAAUUCAUUAACAAUAUUGACUGACUAGAUACUUGGAGUCUCAGACUUAGUAUCUUUAACUCUGACUAAGUGAUAAACGCAAUCUUUGGAUAUAAGCUUCCUUGCUUUUAGAUAUGAGAUAAAAUGACUCUUGGAAGAUACUGAACUUCCAAACCACUCAAAAAUUGGUUCAUCAAGAAACUAAAAUUUGACUGCAUGGGUACGACAGUCUACAGAUGCAUAGCAAGAGUGAAGCCACUCCAUACCCAAAAGAAUAUCAAAAUCAACCAUCUCUAACUCUAUUAAAUCAACAAGUAUGACUCUAUGGAGAAUAGUAAUAGGACAAUCCUUAUACACUUGCUUAGAAACAACAGACUCCCCUACUGAAGUAGAAACUAGAAUAGGCUCAGAGAUAUUUUUGUGACUCUUCUCAAAAUUUGCAGCCACUAAUAGGGUUACAUAAGAAAGCUUGACCUAGGGUCCAACCAUACAUAAACAUCAAAGUGAAAUACAUGGAGCAUACCAAUAAUGACGUCAGGAUAAUCCUCUUGCUCAUGAUAGAAAGAUAAGGCAUAAAAUCUAUUUUGGUGCUGACCGCCAGCAGUGCUAGAAGAAGCACCCUGUGGAGGAGCUGGUGCACUAGUGGCCUGUGCCUGGGGUUGGGGAUCUCUGGUUUUCUGCCUAGCAUGUGGGCCUAUGGCCCAUCUUUCCAUAACCAAAACAACCUCUUUUCUCAACCAAAAACUCACCCAAAUGGAUCCUGCCAUACUUAGCACAAGGAGGAAAAUUAGGCUUGUUACUCAUGCUCUGCUGAGACCUGGACGUAGAAGUCUUGUUUCUUUGCUCCUUCCUACCUAUGGGUGCUGGAGCACUAGAGGAUGAAGGUGCUGGCAUGGAUGAACAACUCUAGAACUAAGGGAGAUUCCCUCCAUGGGACCUAGCCUGACUAUACUCAUGUUGUUUGGUUCUAGCUAUCUUGUUUCCCAUUAUGCUAUCUCUUUCACUUAUCUUAUCCACUUAUAUCUAUUGUGAAUAUAUCAUCAACCUAGGCGUUCUUCACUCUUUCAAUACCAAGCCAAAAACACCUAUCAUGAACUUGCUCAUGAUAGAGUGGGUGUCAGAAAUCAAGUCAAGAGCAUAUUUGGCUUACUAAUUGAACUUCAAGCAGUACUCCUUAACAGUCAUGGAGCCUUACGAAUUCACCUGCAUUAGACCCAUAAAACUCUUGCAGAUUCAUCCAUAUUAAAUCACGGAUCUUGACAGUAGCUAAAUUAUCCCUUACUGCUGUGGAGCUGUGGCCUAGUUAGCCUAGAUGUUCGCAGUAAUUGCUUGGGCUAGCACCUGGAAAGCUGCUCAAAACUUGGCAUAGGACACAUUUUCAUUCAAGGGAUCAACAGGUUGAGGUUGCUGAUCAUUAUUACUUCUACGGGCUCGACAAGAAGGCAUUUUCUUAAAUAAAAGAGCAUGAAUUAAUAGCUAAGAGAGACAACUUUAAUCAUGAUAGACUCUAAAAGAAAGAAAUGACUUUUCCUAAAAUGUUUCGUAGCCUUUUGCUCAUAGAUGUGGUACGCUACACACUAAUGAUCAAGACUCUACUUAACAUGUCUUUUCAGACUCCCUAGGGCUUCUUAAACCUUAGGCUCUGAUACCGAGUUUGUUACACCCCAAAAUUGGGUCCCGAGAUGUCACACGGUGCUUAAGGCUAUGAGUAGCCCCAAGAUAACCCUUUGAGCCUACAACUUCAUUUAAUAAAUUACUUAGAGAUGAAAUUCAUAAAAUACUAAUACUUUCAAAUGAGAUAAUAAGGAAUAUGAAUAAAAUAUUCUAUUCGAAUAGUCAAAUUACUGGAAAUCUCAACAUACUACCGGUAACUAGUCUAACAAUGCCUUCACUACUCAAGAACUAGAGAGCCAUUGGGACAGGUCCCCAAAAGACUCAUACUCAACUGAUAAAGGAUGAACAAUAACUAAAUAAACUAAAUGUCUAAAGAUAAAUGGUCCCCGAAUCAUGAGGACUCACCACUGCUGAUAUGUAGAUAAAAGUGCUUGCAAAUCACUAACGAGGCUGGGACUGAGCACUUGAACCUACAUUAUAAGAAAAUGUAGCACACAAACAAAUAUAUGGAUUAGUACUUUAGGGAUGUACUCAGCAUAUGGGGGUGUAUGCAAUUAAAUAAUCAAUAUCACAAGUAUUUAUAGAAAACAUGCAUGCUAUAAUAGAUGACUCACAUAGCUUGAAUAAAAUUCUCACAAAUUCCAGAUGGAAACAAAUAAUGUAAAUCACGUGAGUCAUUUCACUUUAUUCUUCUACAUUUUUUCUUUGUUCUAAAACUUGUAGACUUAGACGAGAUCUUAAGAAAGUACCUUCAUUAAGACUCAAACAUCAUGAUUGCUUGAAAAUCUUAGAAAUCUUAGAAUCUUAGCUUUCAAAAUACUUAUACUUUCAAAACUCAUGCUUUUGUCUUAAAGAUAAUAGGACUUUGGGACUUCAUAACUUUAAGAUUGGGAGUUUCUUAUAACCGACAUAAACCAUGUGAUCUACAUGGAAUUCAACGUCUUGCCCAUGUUGAGGAGAGUUGUUCUAUCCUUGCCAUUGAAGCGGAACCUUAACUUCUUAGUGAUCACUAGCUUAACCCACUUGGGGUAAUUCAAGAACUUAAAGGGGCACGUAGUUCUAGGGCAUGAGACCUCAAAAUCAAGCCCAAAUCGGUGCUAAAUACUACUCCCUUACUUAGUUCACAAAUUUAAGAACAUUCACCUCAAAUAUUUCAAUAAUAUGUAAUGGGAGCCAAUAUGCAUCCCCUCUAUCUCAAAUAAAAAGGAUGUGGACCUUUUUCUUAGCUUAGGAUCAAAACUCAAUUUUUUCUUGAAAUCUUGAUAGGUUUAUCAUCAAAGCUUUAAAAAUCUCAACAACAUGGAAAUAUAAGCACACUUCUUGUAAUACUUUAAAGGACAUAAAUAAUUCAUUCUCUUCACAAAAUCAUAAUAGGGCUCAAUUCUUGACAACAAAGCUUAGAAAUUCUUGAAAACAUGAUAUCAAUACAGGAAUAUGCACUUUAUAAUAUGAAUUCUCAAUUCAAAUCUUAUUUAAAAUAGAAAAUCAUGCAAUUCAAGACUUGGACAAUUCUAUAAUCCCAUAAACUUGAAACAUAGCAAAAUAAUGUGAAUUCAUCUUGAAUGUACUAAAUUCUUUAAAAAAAUAAAAGCUUUUGGGCACAAGAACGAAAGAGAGUUUUUGGGCACAAGAACGAAAUAGUGUUCUUGUUCAAACCAUACAUACCUUGUAAUUGAAGCUUUUGGGUGAACUCCUAACCUUAGGUUGCGAAUCGUUCAAUUAGUAGGUGCAUCUUGUAGCCCUCGAAAAGGAGAAUCUAAAUAUCAAAGAAUUAACAAAAAGCUACGAUUGAAUCUUAAGAUAUUUGAGUUUUUAGGUUAAAACCUAUAAGACCCCGUAAAAUCUUGAGUCUAAAAUUCAGUUCAUUAAGCUUUAAAAGAUCCAAGACUUAGAAAACUUUGCUAAGUGAUCAACACUUAGUCUCAUUUUAGACCUCCGAACUUUGGAGAUUUAUUAGAAGUCCUUCCCGACCUCCAAUUAUAGAUUUUCAAGUUACGUUGUGAUAGGGCAAGGUCAUAGUACAUCCCGGGUGAGUUUUGGAAUUUAUGGAAUACAUUUAGGGCUCAUUUUGAUGUUAAAACAGUGGCUCGAGGCGAUAGUAGGGCGCUGCCCAGGCUUCAGCACCGCUCUAAGCGGGGCACCGCCUUGGGUACCUCGGCGCUCUAAGUAGGGCGACGCCCUAGAAGUCCGGUGGGUGCCCAAUUUUUAGCAUUCUCAUUUUGAUAUUUGAGGGAUAUUUUGGUCAAUUCCCCACCCCUAUAUAAAUCAAAAACAUGAGAUUUAUGCUCAUUUACACCAAAUUAUACUACUUUUCAUCAAAUUCUCUCAAGAACUAGGGAAAGGGUUUCAAUUUGAAGACCCAAAUCCAAGAACUCUCACCGCUUAUUUUCAUGUAUUUUCACUCUAAGUUAUACGAUGUGUUGAUCAUGGACUCUUUUUAUACAUGAAGCUUAAGAACCUUAUUUUAAACUAUAUAUCAUGGUAUUCAUGUUGUGAUUUGAUUACUGAUCAUGUUUAUGAGUUGAAUGACUUCAAGAUGAAAUAUUUAUAUGUUUGUAUGAAACUAGGAUGACAUAUUAGUUGAAAUAUAUGAAUUUUAGGUGGUUUGAAUUGCUAAAUUGAUGAACAAACCUAUGCCAUAAAGUGUGCAUGAAAGGUGUUUGAUAAUAUGCCUAGGAGCCUAGAAAUCAAAUUUUCAUUACUCAAUAGUAAUUAAAUGACAAGUCCAUGCUAACCCUUAUGUUUUAACAUGAAUUCCAUGCUAUUGUUGUGUAGUUGUUGUUGUGAUAUGAAGCGUUCAUAAUAUUGGAGUUAUGAAAGUAUGUACAUGUUAUAUGCAUUCCCUACCAUGUAUAAGAUGUUGAGAACUAUGUGUAGUAUAGAAUUCCUUACUUAUGGUGUUAUGAAUUGUGAACUUUGUUCCUAUGAUCAAGAAGUGUCAUGUGGUGUCAGUUUUCUUUCAUCGAGUCUUGGAGGUACUUGUACCUGAAAAAUAUAGUUGUGUUCCUAGAUCAAAUUUCAUGUUUUCACGAUAUCCUCAGUCAAGCCAUAUUUGAUAUAAUUCAGUUAGUCAUGUUACUUAGGAAAACUCAGAAUCUCAUGAACUCAGUCAGUUACUGGAUAUCAGUAGUAUUCCAUCAGUUAACAGAAUUCAGUAAACUCAUUCAUGCUCAGUUCAGUUUAAUCAGUUCAGUGUCUAUUCAGAUGUGAGUAGGAGUUAGAACCGAGUGAACCCAAGGAUGGAAACUUACCUUCCAGUAGAGGUGUGAUUCCUAGAAUCAAUCCUUGCAUUCCAGAACUACGUAGCCAGCGUAGGUUGAGACAUCAUACCUGCUAGUUGAGGGUAGAUAAGGUGGCUUACCUACAAGUUAAGGUUCCACCAUUCUCACUUGAGUACCUAUAAGUCGAGGGUUCUCACAGUCUAUCCUUACCAGUGACACAGUAUUGACACCUUCCAAUCAGGGCAAGGAUUGGACCCCAACUUAACUAUAUUAUCAUACAUGGGGUAUGCUGGUUAGAUGACUACUUCCCACAGUCUUAGUCUCAGUAUCAGUCUCAAUAAAGAGCUCAGAUAGUUCUUCAGAUUUCAGGACUGUCAAAUACAGUCAACUCAGAAAUAGUACAGAACUCAGCUAGUUCUCUCAGAUUUAGGACUGUCAGAUAAAGUCACCCAUGUUAUCAGUUAUAUAGUUAUCAAAAUUUAUUUUUUAGUCAUGUUAGAUAUCAGUGAACUUAUGUUAUCGGUAUACAGAUUCAGUCAUCAUGUUUUUGCAAUCCCAAUUUCAAUGUAUUCAUGUAUGCAUUCUCAUGUUCAUAUUAGUCAGUCAGCUAGUAUUAUUCAUUCAUAUGAACCUUAUGCAUUUAGCCUACCUCACACGCAUACUCAGUACAUUUAAAUAUACUGAUGCAUUUGUGCUAUGGUAUUUUUUUUAUAUUGCACAAUAGGUUCAGACACACGAGUUUCAGACGAACAGUAGCUGUAGCAUCCCAGUACUCAGAGAAACAGUGAGUCCUUAUACUUCGGGGACAUGAUCACCACUUUAUAUUAUUAUUUAUUUCAGUUUAGUUUUGCUAGAUGGAUUUAGUUGGAGACAUGUUUCUUUAACUUCUAUUUUAGUCAGUACUUAGAGGCUUUCAAAUUUGAUUCAGACUUUAGUUGUUUUUAGUUGUUUUGGGUAUUCGAUACCCCACACAGAUGUUAUGAUUUAUCAGUUUUAUUUUUGACAUUGAACCUUGUGGCCUUCAGUCUUUAUUCUCAUAUUAUAUAUAGUAUGUUAUGCAGUAUAUAGGUACAGAUAUCAGUCAUGGGUUAGCUGGUGGUCCUUCAGGAUUGCUAGAACCAUGUAGCAUUUAGAUUCAGAAAAUUGAGGCGUUACAAACUUGGUAUCAAAGCCAGGUUCAAUAGUGUCCUAGAAAGUCUGAAAGCCACAUCUAGUAGAGUCUUGUACAUAGGUGUAUUGUGCGCUAUAUUUAUAUACAGGAGGCUAUGAGAUAGAUUAGGAAUAGUUUCCUUUCUUUCAGUACUCAUAUUAUGCCAGUGAGCAUAAUCUCAACUUAAUCUCUCAGUCUAAUUCGUUUCUCCUCUUGAUUUCAUAACAUACCUCCAAGAAUAAGAAACUAGCCAACUCCUCAGCCCAAAGAUCCUUUGGGAGAACAUGUUUCUCAUGCGAAGUUCAGAGCCGAAUUCACCACUCUUGCUCAGUUAAUUGCUACCUAAAAUGAAUAAACAGCUGUCAUUCUGACCAACCUAGUGGCCAAUUCAACUGCAGCCAAGAUUCAAGACUUCACCCAAAUGUUCUCCAUCUUUCUUCGAGUCUAAGCUCCAUCCUUCUUCGAGUCUAAUACAUAUGAAAACCCUCAGGAAUUUCUUGACCAGAUUUAGAAGGUGACAGAUAUCAUGGGGGUGACUACUAUUGACAGUGCUAAGUUAGUCGUAUAUCAGUUGCAGGAUGUGGCUCAUACUUGGUACAAGCAGUAGAAGUCUGAAAGGUUAGAUGAUACAGGUCCUAUAGAGUGGGGGGAGUUUAUCACGGCAUUGUUAGAUAGAUUCUUUCCCCAAGAGCUGAGGGAGGUAAAGGUGCUAGAGUUUAUCAACCUCAGGUAGGGCAAUAUGAAGAAUAUUCUCUUAGGUUUACUCAAUUAGCCAGAUAUACCCCUCAUGUCGUUGCAGAUGGUAGAGCCAAGAUGAGUAAGUUCAUUUCAGGGGUUAAUACAUGGUAAAUAAGUGCAGAUCCUCUAUGCUGAAUAGUGGCAUGACUUUAGCCAGACUUAUGCCUCAUGCCCAGCAGAUAGAGAAGCAGAAGGUUAAGAGGAGGGAAAAGUAGAAUAAGAGAGCAAGGUUAGGUAGUUUAAACUUUGCUCAGCCUAAGUCAGAGGGAGGAAACUAUUCUCAGUUUAGCUCCAAGUCAUCAGUUCCAGCUCCUUUCUUCGCUAGUUUCCCAGUACCAAAAUUUAGAUACGGUAACAGAGAUAGAUCACCAGGAUCUAAGUCUCAGGGUAGUGUUGGCAAUGCCUGCUCCUAUACUUGUUGUCAUACUUAUGGAAAGAACCAUCAGGGUACUUGUAGAGCUGGCAGAGAUACUUAUUUUGAAUGUGGCAAGCCAGGCCACAUGGUUAGAGAUUGUCUGCAGUCAGGUCUGCAGGGUUAUCAGAACUGUUCCUCAGUUUAGUUUGGUUAUCCAAAUCAGCAGGGUUCCACCUCCAGUGCUACUAAUAGGCAACGUCCAAAUCAAAUUUAUGCUCUCCAGUCCUGGCAAGAUUAGGAAAAUUCUCCUAAUGUAGUUACUGGUACAUUAUAGAUCUUCCAUGUGCAUGUUUACGCUUUGCUAGAUCCAUGUGCUUCUUUGUCCUUUGUUACUCCCUUUAUAGCAGGUAAUUUUGGAAUUAGUCCUGAAAUUCUAGCAGAUCCCUUCUCAGUAUCUACCCCAAUGGAUAAAACCAUCAUAGCCCAGCAAGUAUAUGAAAACUACCUGAUUAUGAUAUUUCAAAAAGUUACUUCAGCAAAUUUGGUCGAGUUUGAGAUUACUGAUUUUGAAGUCAUUCUAUGUAUGGAUUGUCUUCAUUCCUGCUUUGCCACAGUUGACUAAAAAAAUAGGGUAAUUCAGUUUUGGUUUUCGAAUGAUCUCAUCUUAGGGUAGAGGGGGAGUACUUUAUCUUUCAGAGUUCAUCUUAUUUUCUACCUUCGGGUAAGUAAAAUGAUAUCUAAGGGAUGUGUUUACCAUCUCAUUCAUGUUAAGGAAUCUAGUUUUGAAACUCCCAAUCUUGAGUCCAUCCCAGUUUUUAAUGAGUAUUCAGAUAUUAUCCCGAAGAUCUUCAAAGCAUUCCUCCCAAAAGGGAAAUAGACUUUGGCAUUGAUCUUCUUCCAAACACUUAGCCUAUUUCGAUUUUGCCAUAUCGAAUGGCACCAGCAAAGCAUAAAGAACUGAAAGAAUAGUUGAAGUAAAUUUAGAUAAGGGAUUCAUCAGACCCAGCAUUUCCCCGUGGGGCACACCAGUCUUAAUCAUACACAAGAAAGAUGGUUCUCUCAGGAUGUGCAUAGAUUAUCGUCAGCUCAAUAAAGUUACGAUCAAGAACAGGUAUCCACUUUCCAGAAUUGAUGACCUAUUUGACUAAAUUUAGGGUGCUACUUAUUUCUCUAAGAUAGACACAGAUCAGGCUACCAUCAGCUCAGAGUUAGAGAAUGUGACAUUCUGAAGAUAGCUUUCCACACUCGGUAUGGUAACUUCGAAUUCUUAGUCAUGUCCAUUGGUCUUACCAAUACCCCUGAAGCUUUUAUGAACUUGAUGAACUGUGUUUUCAAGAAGUAAUUGGACAUGUUCAUCAUAGUCUUUAUAGAUGAUAUUCUUGUCUAUUCCCGCACUGAGCGCGAUCAUGCAAACCAUCUCAAAACAGUACUUUAGACUCUCAAAAACUAUCAGUUAUUCGCCAAAUUCAGUAAGUGCAAAUUUUGGCUAGGGUCAAUAAAAUUCCUUGGCCAUAUCAUUUUUGGUGAUGGCAUUAGAGUGUAUCCUCAAAAGACCAAAGCGAUAAGAAACUAGCCUCACCCUGUGUCUUCAUUAGAUAUCAGGAGUUUUUUAGGUUUGGCUGGCUAUUACAGGCAGUUUGUUGAGGGAUUUCCUUUUAUUUCAUCCCCUAUAUCCAAAUCGACUCAGAAAAAGGUCAAGUUUCAGUGGUUAAAUCCUUUUGAGAAGAGUUUUCAGGAAUUUAAGACUCGACUCACCUCAGCCCCAGUUCUAGCAUUACUAGAUAGUCCAGAUGGGUUCGUAGUAUAUUGUGAUGCAUCUAGAGUAGGUUUGGAUUGUGUCCUCAUGCAGCAUGGUAAGGUCAUAGCCUACGCCUCCAGACAGUUAUAUCACCAUGAGACGAAUUACCCUACUCAUGAUCUUGAGUUAGCAGCCGUAGUAUUUGCCUUAAAGACUUAGAGGCAUUAUCUCUAAAGAGUUCAUGUAGAUGUCUUUACCGAUCAUAAGAUCUCCAGUACGUCUUUUCUCAGAAAUAUCUCAAUCUUCGUCAGAGAAGGUGGUUAGAGCUUUUGAAGGAUUAUGACAUGAGUGUCCUUUAUAAUCCGAGCAAGGCCAAUGUAGUGGCCGACGCUCUCAAUAGACUAUCCAUGGGUAGUGUUGCUUAUUUUGAGGAUAGUAAGAAGAAUUUAGCUCAGGAAGUCCAUCGGCUUGUCAGACUAGGCAUUCGCUUAGUUGAUUCUUUAGAGGGUGGUAUAUGUGUUUAGAGUAGUUCAGAAUCAUCUCUAGUUUUUGAGGUAAAAGAAAAACAAGAUAGAGAUUCCGGACUUGUCAAGUUAAAAGAGUUAGUCAAAGAUCAGAAAGUAGAUGUUUUCUCCCAAGGGGGAUAUGGUGUUCUUCGUUUUUAGGGUCCUUUGUGUGUUCUAGGUGUAGAUUACUUGAGGCAGCGACUUCUUGUAGAAGCGCAUGGUGUGCGAUACUCUUUUCAUCCAGGGGCCACUAAGAUGUACCGUGACUUGCGGGAGAUCUAUUGGUGGAGUGGGAUAAAGAGGGAUGUUGCAGAGUUUGUGGCUAAGUGCUCUACAUGUCAGCAGGUUAAGAUAGAGCAUCAGAAGCCUAGUGGUUCCAUGAAGGAGUUCACUAUUCCUACUUGGAAGCAGGAAGAAGUGAACAUGGACUUGUGACAGUUUUGUCUCGAACCCGUCAUUAGUAUGAUUCAGUUUGGGUCAUUGUAGACAGAAUGACUAAGUCAACUCAUUUCCUUCCAGUUCAUACCUCUUAUUCAAUCGAGGAUUAUGCCAAACUCUACAUCAGAGAGAUGGUUAGAUUACAUGGUAUUUCGCCAUCUAUCAUCUCAGAAAGAGGUACCUAGUUCACCCAACUUUGGAAAAUGUUCCAAAAGGGUCUUGGUACCCAAGUUCAUCUCAGUAUAGACUUUACUCCUCAGAUAUAUGGUCAAGAAGAAAGGACCAUUCAAACUCUAAAAGAUAUGUUAAAGGUAUGUGCAAUUGAUUUCAAAUUAAGUUGGGAUGACCACUUGCCUUUGAUUGAGUUUGCUUACAAUAAUAACUAUCAUUACAGCAUUCAGAUGGCCCUAUUUAAAGCUCUCUAUGGUAGGAGAUGCAGAUCUUCAGUUGUUUAGUUCAAAAUUAGUGAGGCCUCAGCCAUAGGGCCUUAGUGUUUGAUGCCUUAGAAAAAUUCCAGUUGAUUAGAGAAAGACUCUGGGCUACUCAGAGCCGACAGAAGUCUUAUGUAGAUAUUCAUAGAAAGGAUCUCGAGUUAGAGAUUAGUGAUUAUGUCUAUCUCAAGAUCUCUCCCAUGAAGGGAGUAAAGAGAUUCGGCAAGAAGGGAAAGCUCAGUCCAUGAUAUGUCAGCCCCUUCAAGAAUCUCAGUCGUUUCGGUAAAGUAGCUUAUGAGCUCAAGUUGCCUUUAGAUCUAGCUUCAGUUCAUCCAGUCUUCCACGUAUCUUUUCUCAAGAAGUGCAUAGGUGACCUAGCAGUUGUAGUCCCUAUUCAGAGCAUAGAUGUCCAGAAUAGCCUCUGUUAUGAGGAAAUUCCUGUCGAAAUUCUUGACUAUUAGACUCGUAGACUGGGGAACAAAGAAGACCCUCUAGUUAAAGUUCUUUGGUGAAAUCAGUCAGUUGAGGGAGCUACUUGGGAAGCAGAGGCAGAUAUGUGAACCAAAUACCCUUACCUGUUCUCCUCCAACUCAGAUCAAGCUCAAGGUAACAGUUCUCCUUAAGUUUAUUCAGCUUCAUGUUUAGCAUUCCUUACCAAACUUGGUAUUCAGUAUCAUGCUCAUGUUCCAAUUAUAAACUUGGUAUCAAGUACCAUUGUACAUUCAUUCAUGCAUUUAUGUAUCAGUUUAUUUAUAUAAUCAUAAAUCAGAUAUGCAUUCUCAUUGUGAGACACUCAGUUUAUUAGAACACUCAGUCAUGCAUUCAUGAACCAAUUACACAUGCAUUAGAUAUGCAUGUUCAGUAUGAUAUAUUCUGUUUAUUAGUCACAUCAGUCAUGAGAUCAUGUUCCAAUCAUUUAUGUUUAGUUCAUGUUAAGUUUAUUCUUUCCCCUUCAGUCAGUCUCAUACGAAAAUGAAUAUUCCCAAGGGAGAGAUAUUGUAAGACCCCAUAAAAUCUUGAGUCUAAAAUUCAGUUCAUUAAUCCUUACAAGCUCCAAGACUUAGAAAAUUUUGCUAAGUGUUCAACACGUAGUCUCAUUUUAGACCUCCAAACUUCAAGGAUUUAUUUGACGUCCUUCCAGACCUCCAAUUGUAGAUUUUCAAGUUGCAUUGUGAUGGGAAAAGUCAUAGUAUAUCCCGGGUGAUUUUCGGAAUUUUUGGAAUCCGUGUAGGGAUCGUUUAGAUUUUGAAAUUGUAUCUCAAGGCAAUAACAGGGUGCCGCCCAGGCUUCAGCACCGCUCUAAGAUGGGCACCGACCUGGAAGUCCAGUAGGGGCCCAGUUUUCAGCAUUCUCAUUCCGACCUUUCAGGGGUAUUUUGGUCAAUCCCCCACCCCUAUAUAAGUCAAAACCACGGUAUUUAUUCUCAUUUACACCAAAAUAUACUAUUUUUAAUCAAUUUCUCUCAAGAAAUAGUGAAAGGGUUUCAAUUUGAAGACUCAAAUCCAAGAACUCUCACCGUUAAUUUUCAUGAAUUUUCCCUCUAAGGUAUGCGAUGUGUUGAUUCAUGGACUCCUUUCAUCCAUGAAUCUCAAGAACCUUAUUUUAAACUAUAUAUCAUGGUAUUCAUGUUGUUAUUUAAUUGUUGAUCAUGUUUAUGAGUUGAAUGACUUCAAGAUGAAAUCUUUAUAUGUUUGUAUGAAACUAGGAUGGCAUAUUAGUUGAAAUAUAUGAAUUUUGGGUGGUUUGAAUUGCUAAAUUGAUGAAUACACCUAUGCUAUAAAGUGUUCAUGCAAGUUGUUUGAUAAAAUGCCUAGGAUCCUAGAAAUCAAAUUUUCAUUACUCAAUAGUACUUAAAUGACAAGUCAUGCUAACCCUUAUGUUUCAACAUGAAUUCCAUGCUAUUAUUGUGUAGUUGUUGUUGUGAUAUGAAGCGUUCAUAAUAUUGGAGUUAUGCAAGUAUGUAUAUGUUAUAUGCAUUCCCUACCAUGUAUAAGAUGUUGAGGACUAUGUGUAGUAUGGAAUCACUUACUUAUGGUGUUAUGAAUUAUGAACUUUGUUCCUAUGAUCAAGAAGUGUCAUGUGGUAUCAGUUUUCUUCCAUCGAGUCCUGGGGGUACUUGUACCCGAAAAAUAUAGUUGUGUACCUAGAGCAAGUGUCAUGUUUCACGAUAUCCUCAGUCAAGCCAUGUUCCAUAAAAUUCUGUUAGUCAUGUGACUCAAGAAAUCUCAGAAAUCUCAUGAACUCAGUCAGUUACCAGAUAUUAGUAGUAUUUUAUCAAUCAAUAGAAUUCAGUAAACUCAGUCAUGCUCAGUUUAGUUUAAUCAGUUAAUUGUCUAUUAAUAUUUGAGUAAGAGUUAGAACUGAGUGAACCCAAGGGUGGGAGCUCACCUGCCAAUAAAGGGCGUGAUUCCUAGAAGCAAUCCUUACAUUCCAUAACUACGUAGCUAGUGUAGGUUGAAACAUUAUACCUAGUAGUUGAGGGUAGAUGAGGUGGCUUACCUGCUAGUUGAGGGUUCCCACCAUUCUUACUAGAGUACCUACCAGUCAAGGGUUAUCACAGCCUGUCCUUACCAGUGGCGUGGUAUUGACACCCUUCUAAUUAGGGCAAGUAUUGGAUCCCAGCUCAGCUAUAUUAGCAUACAUGGGGCAUGUCAGUUAGAUGACUAUUUUCCACAGUCUCAGUCUCAGUCUCAGUAAAAGAGUUUAGAUAGUUCUUUAGAUUUCAAGACUGUCAGAUACAGUCAAUUCAGAUACAGUAUAGAACUCAGCUAGUUCUAUCUGAUUCAGGACUAUCAAAUACAGUCAAAUUCAUUUAUCAGUUAUAUUAGAUAUCAGUGAACAUAUGUUAUCAGUAUACAGAUUUAGUUAUCAUGUUUUCAUGAUCCCAGUUGCUAUGUAUUCAUGUAUGCAUUCUCACAUUCAUAUUAGCGAGUCAGCUAGUAUUAUUCAUGCAUAUGAACCCGAUGCAUUCAGCCUACCUCAUAUGCAUACUCAGUACAUUCAAAUAUACUAACGCAUUUGCGCAAUGGUGUUUCUUUUUAUUUUACACCAUAGGUUCAGAGACACGAGUUCCAGACCAGCAUUAGCAGUAGAAUCUUAGUACUCAGAGUAGCAGUGAGUCCUCAUCCUUAGGAGACAUAAUCACCACUUUAUAUUAUUAUUUAUUUCAGUUCAGUUUUGCUAGAUGGAGUUAGUCGGAGACAUGUUCCUUCAACUUCUAAUUCAGACAGUACGUAGAGGCUUUCAGAUUUGAUUCAGACUUUAGUUGUUUUUAGUUAUUUUUGGUAUUUGAUACCCCACAUGGAUGUUAUGAUUUAUCAAUUUUAUUUUUGGCAUAGAACCUUAUGGCUUUCAGCCUUUAUUUCUGCUUUAUAUAUAGUAUGUUAUGUAGUGUACAGGUACAGAUAUCAGUCAUGGGUUAGCGGGUGGUCCUUUGGGGUUCCUAGCACCGUAUAGCAUUCCAAUUUAGAAAAUUGGGGCGUUCCAAAACCCUAAUAGAGGUUCUUGCAAAAUUUUGAUGAAAAUACUCUUAUUUUGGUGUCCUUAGGAUUGAAUCCCGUGUUAAAGAGGAUAGAGGGGUGGAAAUUAUCCAAUUUACCCUCAAUAACUUGAAGGAGGAGUGCAAAAAUUAGCCUGUUGCGGUACCCAGGGUGGCGCCCUUCCUAGCGCACAGGAGUUUCUAAGGCAACACCUUGGCUAGAGUGGUGGUAACACCAGGGCGUCACCCCGCUUAGAGUGGGGGAGUACCCCAGGCGACGCCCUACUAUCGCCUUUUUCUAUUAUUUUUCCAACCCAAACACGACCUUAAGCUCGUUUAGAAAUUCCAAAACUCAUCCGAGAUGUACUCUUGACUUUCCCCAUUGUAAUGCAACAAAAAAAUCAAGAAACGGAGAAUCGAGAAAGUCGUGAAAUAAUUCAACGAAGAUUGAAGGUUCAAAAAUAAACUAAGUGUUGGAACACUUAGCAAAAUUCUAAGUGUUGAGCUUCUUUUUACUUGUUUCGAAGGCUUUAUCAAUGAGGAAACUUUGUAGGGUCUUAUAGAGUAACAUCCUGUAAAUGAUAUUCAGCUAACUCAGUACUCUCACAAGUGGUAAACCCAUGAUAUUUGUAACCUUCUGCACCUGAUCUAGGAAUUCCUGAGGGUCCUCAUCUAACUUAGACCUGGAAAGGGAUAGAGGAUUUAUUAGGGUGAAGUUCCGAAUCCUAGCUGUUGCAGUGUUGGCCACUGGGUUGGCUGGAAUGACAAUUGGACAUUCAUUCUGGGCAAUAACUGAAUUAGCAAUUGUGGUGAAUGCAGCUCUAAACUUUUGAUGAGAGACAUAUUCAUCCAAGGGAUAUUCUUGGACAGCCUGAUUUCUUCUUUUGAGAGGCAUGUUUCAUAAAUAAAAGGGAGAAAUGACUUAGACUAAUAGUCAAACUUGAGCUCAUGCUCACUGGCAUGACAUGAAUACUGAAAGAAGAGAAACUAUUCCUAAAAUAUCUCAUAGCCUCCUGUACAUAAAUGUGGAAUGCAACACACCCAUGCAUAAGAUUCUACUAGAUAUGGCUUUUAAGACUUUCUAGGACACUAUUGAACCAGGCUCUGAUACCAAGUUUGUAAUGCUCUGAGCCUGGUGCCUCGGACGCUACACGGUGCUCAUUAUCUCGAAGGAUCACAAGCUAACCCAUGACUAAUAUUUGUAACAGAGCACUGAAUAAUAAUAGUAUUAACGUAAAUAUGGAAACAUAAACUGAAAGGUCAUAAGGUUCAAUACUGAUACAUAACUGAAAAUAUGGUAUAAUAAUAUCAAAAUUGAAAUAAACUAUCUGAACAUGCUAUAGUAUGAAAGCCUCUAAUACUAAACUAUCUGACUAAGGCGUUGAUAGGACAUGUCCCCAACUAACGCCGUCAAAUGAAAAGCAGUUUCUAAAAAAAAUAAUGAAAUAAUAGCAUCCUCUCAUUAUAAGGACUCACUGCUACAUCUACUGUUGCUGACUAAUCAUGAUCUGCUAAGCUCUAUUACAAGACUGAGCAACCAAACCUAUGGUAUAAAAAUCCUUACCGCAAGAGAAAAGUAUGUGUCAAUACAUGAGAAUAUACUGGUACGCAAAGUGAGGUAAGGCUGAAUGCAAGGGUUCAUAUGCAUAAACUAUAACUGACUGAAUAAUAUGAACAUGAUUGCAUAAGAAUACAUGCAUGAAAUCAUAACUGUAACUGAAAUUAUGAGGAUUCUGAGUACUGAGUCUACUGAUAACAUGGAUUACUGAUAACUAUUAUAACUGACACUGAUAUAACUAAAAAUAGAGUUGACUAUUUUUGAUAGCCCUGAUUCUUAUGGAACUAGCUGAGUUCCAUACUGAGAUGAGUGAUUGUAUCUAAUAGUCCUAAAUCUGAAGAACUAUCUAAGUUCCUUAUUGAGCUGAGUUAUUGUAUCUGACAGUCCUGAUUCUAUAACUAAAACUGUGAGAGAAUUUAUCUAACUGACAUGCCCCAAUUAAGAAUACUAAGUUCGGGUGAAAUAUGUAACCCCAAUUAAACGAGUGUCAAUACCGUUCCACUAGUAAGGAUAAGUUAUGGGUAACCCUCAUCUAACAGGUACUCUAAGGAGAAUAGUGGGACCCUCACCUAACCAGUUAAGCCACCUCAUCAACCCUUAUCUAGUAGGUUUGAUGUCUUCACGUACGUUGGCUACGUAUUUUUAGAGCACAAGGAUUGCUUCUAAGAAUCAUACAUUUUGCUCGCAGGUGAGUUCCCAUACUUGGGCUCACUCGAUGUUGAAUCCUACUCCCAUCUGAUUAGACACUGAACUAAUUAUGUUGAAUAGACUGGACUGAGUUCACUGAUUCUGUUGAUUGAUGGAGUACUACUAGAAUCUGUCUGACAUUUACUGAGAUUACUGAGAUAACUAAAUUUUUUUUCUUGAGUCACAUGACUAACUUAAUUCUAAAGAUCGUGGCUUGACUGAGAGUGUGUUGAAAACUAACACUGGCUCUAGGCACACAGCUAAAUUAUUGGGUAUAAGUACCCCCAGGACUUGAUAGCAUGAAACUGACAGUACAUGACACUCACUUGAACACAUGACCAUAAGCAAUAACUCAUAGUAUAAUCAUAGGGGAUUUUAUAAGUACUUUGAAGGUUACAAACUUGAACUUGAAUAAGAAGCCAUGCAACAUGUCAUAAUCUUCACAAUUUUCAUUCUCAUGAACAUUUCAUCAAACACUUGGAAUGCAUUAUCUUGUACAUAAAUAGGGGGCUUACUUAUUAACAUGCUAUUAUGGCACUAUUUCAUUCAAAUAGGUAUUUUGUCAAAAACGUGGGGAGCAUGCUUUGGUUAUACAAUCAUCAAUAAUUUUAUUCAUCAUGACUACGUUAAGAAAAUUGUAAAUUGAAGGGUUUAUUAUGAAUCAUCAUGCAAAUCAUCACAUAUACUAUUGAAAACAUACAUCAAAACCUAACAAUCACAUGAACAUGAAUUUCAAUUCAACUAAAUUAUUAACAUUCAUAAAUACAUUAUCUUUGUAUUUUGAAAAUGGAUUCUUGAGAAUUAUGGGUGAAAGGAACCCAUAAAUCAACACUUAACAUACCUUAGAACGUAGAUCCUUAAGGGUUCAUGGAGAAAUUCUUGAGCCUUGUUCUUGAAUUUUGAUGCUAGGGUUUUCUUACUUUUGAGAGAGAAUGAUGUAAUUGGGGAAAAUUUGAGUAAAUAAUGAUAUAUUUAGGUUAUAAGAGAAUUAAUUUCGUGUUUGGGGCUGAUAUGGGUCAUGGGAAAGGUAUAAGAUGCCCUUGGGAUUUAAAAUCCCAUAAUUGGAAUGUCGAUAGAAGCUUCACGACAAUGUGGUGGUUGGGUCAUCGUGAUAUCCACUGCAACGCGGGGUAAUUGCGGUGACUCACUAGUUCUUGACAAUUAUCAAGUUAAGCCUUACCGCAACACGAGGAAAUAGUGGUGAGAUACUGGAAUUGGACAAUUGCAAUUGUUUCCUUCAUCGCAACGUGAUGGUGGCCUCAUCGCGAUACUCACAGCGAUGAGGCCCUAUCGCGAUGAUCCACUAUUUCUGCAACCUUCACACGAUGCAAUCCUUGUCUGAAAAAUUAUGAAACUUAUCUGAAAUAUGCUAUCUUCAUUUCUAAAUAUGAAUCAAUUUGUAAAACAACUUUUUGAGGUUGGGAAGGUCAUAAAUACAUUCCCUAAAGUGCGAUGGGCUUAGAAAAGACUAAGUCCUAACACUUAACUAGAAAUUUUCUAACUUUGGGAACCCUCAACAAGAUUUAAAACUGAGUUAGGCUAAGGAUUAGCGGGGUCUUACAAAUAUAUAAAUUAAUAAUACUUGAUAGUAAAUUAGUAAUGUAUUAAAACUAAGCAUUUAAUUUAAACUAGAAGUUCAAUUUAAAUCAUUAAAUGGAAAAAAAUUACAAAGUAAGGACUAAGGAGUGAAUGAAUGUUAUAUUUUAUUGAUUACAACAUGAUUCAAAAUUUAUAAUGUACAUGAAUGAAAAAACUACAAAGUUCUCAUCAUUUUUUCAACUCAUCCAUGUUAACAUUAAUAGGAACUUGCAUAGGACAGUCAAAGUCAAUUGGGGAAAAACCAUGCAUUGGACUUGAUUGUGCGGAGUUCUCCCUCAAAGUCAUUAUUUUUUCAAGAUUCUGUUCGUCUUUCGGCUCCACUUUCAUUCCUUGAUUUCUUCGUUCCGCUCUAAACCAAUCUCUAAGGCACACUUAACAUGAAAUAUUUCAGGUAACGGCAGAGAGAGCUUAGCUUCUAACUUUGUAAUAGCAGUCUUGUUGUUAGAAGCAUUAUCAAAAGCAAUACAUAAGACUAUUUUUUUCAAUACCAUAAAAUUCUGCAACUUUAAUAAUCAAAUCAAUAAUAAAUUCUCUACUAUUUCUAUGUAAUACCCCGCAAAAUUCUCUCAUCAUUAAGGCUUUCAAAACGAAUCAAAAGAAGUCUUACACUUAGAAAUUUUGCUAAGUGCUCCAACACUUAGUUUAUUUUUAAGCCUUCAACUUUGAAGAAUUAAUUUAGGACAUUCCUAGCAUCCAUUUUUUGAUUUUCAAGUUGCGUUGCAAUGGGUUAAGUCAAUAGUACAUCUCGGGUGAGUUUCAAAAUUUUUGGACCUCGUUUAGGGCGUGUUUAGUUUCCAAACCAGUAUCACCAUGCGAUUUGCAUGCGUCGCAUGGUGCAUCGCAUCCCUGACACCAUGCAAUGGAGCAUGUGAUACAUGCUCCAGUCCGUUGGGGUAGAGCAUGUGUCGUAUGCUCUGCUACGCGUGCCUGGAAAGUUUCAGUUUUUCUUCCAUCUUUGUAGGGGCAAAAUGGGUAUUUUCCAUUCCCAACUAUGCAUUAACACGGGAUUUUAAUCCCAAUGGACCAAAAUAUGGUCCUUAUCCUCUAAUUUUUCAAGAAAAACACCCCUUAGACUCAAAAUAAAAAUCAAGAUCUAUCAAAAUUCACCCGUUAAAUUUCAAAAGUAAUUCCAAAAUUGGAAUCCCCAGAUCGAGAUCUUCAAGAAGCACCUAUCAAUUUUAAGAAUAGAGUUUCGAAAAUAAAAGUUCAUCCAAAUUCAUAAAUUUGAGGUAUGUAGGGUUUGAACAAGAACAAUCCUUCUAUUCUUGUGCCCUAAAUUUAAUUUAUUUUAAGAUCUUAUGAUUUACGGAUAAAGUUAUGUCCAAAUUAUCUUGUUUGAGGAUUUUGAGUUUAUGAGUUAUUCAAGUUGUGAAUUUCUUGAUAUCUCUAUCUAUUAUGUUUUGAAUUGAGAGUUUAUAUUGUGAGUUUCACCCUUUCUUUAUUAUUAAUAUUGUUGAAUAAUUUCAAGAAUGAUAGUGAGUAUGAAUUAUUAUUUUGAAUUGACAUGAAUCAAGUAUUGAAUUUUUAACCCAAAGAUUUAGUAUUUAGAUUUUGAGACUAUAUUCUCGGAAGCUUUGAACUAUUAUAUUCAUACAAAGAAUGAUUUUGAAUUUUCAUGAUGUCAUGAUCUUAAUCUUUCCUCUAGUGGAUUAUUUACCAAGAUUUGAGUCAAGAUUGAUGUUUGGAUAAGGAGUUAAAAUAGAAGUCCACAAAUUUUGUAUGAUUUAAACUAACAGAAAUAUGACUUGGUCUUCAUUAUAGACCCUUGAGUUAUUUUGAGGUGGAUUUUCUAAAAGUUCUGAGCCUAAGUAUGGAAGUAGUAUUUAGCAUCGAGCGGGAAGCGUGGGUUUAGCGCAUCCUACUUUCUUAGGACUAUAUGCCACCGUAGGAUUGCGAUUUAUGGGCCUAAGGUUGAGAUCGUGACCACUAACAUUGAGUUUCUAUUCUUAUGGCAAGGGUAGAACAGCUCUCCCCAACGUGGGCAAGACGUUGGACUCUAUGUGGCUCACAUGGUUUAUGUCGAUUAGAAGAAACUCUCAAAGCAGUCCCCUACUCUAAUUAAGCUAAAGGUAUAUAUUUCAAAAGUUUGAUUUUUGAGAUUUCCAAGUUUCCAGGUCCAUAAUAUUUCAAAGUUUCCCAAUUGCAAAUAUCUAAGUUUGUAAAGUUUUAAGUCCUUUAGUUUUAAACAAGUUCUAUUUUCCUCAGUAAAGAAGUAUGAGUUUUGAAAGAUUAUUUAAAGAUUUCUUUAGCUUACGAGUUUUGAGAAUAAAAGGAGAAAUUUAGAUUUUUGAGUUAAGUAUAAUGACUCACGAGAUUUAUGAUACAUGUUUCAUUAUUCAUGAUCUAUGAUGUUUAUAUUUCAAAUUUUAUUCAAGCUUUGUAAGUCAUUAUUACCAGCAUGCAUGAUUUCUAACAAAAUUUAUGAUAUCAUUUAUUCAAAUACAUACACCCCCAUAUACUAAAUACAUUCUCAUAGUACUGAUCACAUACUCGUUUGUGUGCUACAUUUCCUCAUAAUGUAGGUUCAUGUGCCCAGUCCUAGCAGCGUCAGUGAACCCAAUCACCUUUGUCUAUAUUCCUGCAGUGGUGAGUCUUCAUGGUUCAAGGACCUAUGUUCCAGUCAUUCUGUAUUAUCAGUUGUUGUGUUAUUUUCUUUUAUUUGAGUAUGAAUUAGUUGGGUAUCUGUCCCAAUGGCUCCCUAUUCUUUGAGUUGUAGAGGCUCUGUCAGACUAGACUGUCAGUUGUGUUGUCGGACUUUUCAAUAUCUUCUGAUUUGGACAUUAUAUUUAUAGAGUGGAUUGAUGAGAAUUAAUUCUAAUUAUCUAAUUUAGAUUCUUAAAAUGAGUAUUAAAUGUAGUAGUAAGCUCAAAGGGUUAACUUGGGGCUACUUGUAGCCUCAAGCACCGUGUGAUAUCUCGAGACCCAUUUUCGGAGCAUUACAGUCUACGAUUUUCAUCAUACAAAAAAUCAAGAAUACAUUUUUGCAUAACAUAAUUACUAUCUAUCCAGUUACAAGUAAUCAUUUUUAUUAACAGUAUAAUCAAGAUCAGAAGUUAGAGUCAUGCUACAUUGGAUAUUUUUUAAUAAUUUAGAUAAAUAAAAAACAUAUUGUGAAUGAAAUCUAAAAAUAUCAGCCUAACAAGUACUUCUAGGAAUACCAUUAUACAUAGGAUUAUAAAUUGCUUGAAUAUAAUGAAUAAUAGCAUCCGAAGAAGAAAAACUGAAAGGCAAACAACCUACAACUACCAGUUUUGCUAUUUCUUUCCGAUCCCUGUAUUUAUUAUAAUUCUUAAUUACCUGACCGGUUGUUGGGUCCACUCUAAUUUGUGUUGGCCCACCAAUAGCCUCACCACCUCAUGCAAUAAAUAACUCUCUUACGUGAUCAUCAUUUAUAUAUCUCAUUAACAUACCCAUACCCCUUGCUUGCCUUCACUUUUAUACUUAUAUAUUUGUUGACAAAUAUUGCAUUGCACCUCAGUAUCUCCUAUUUGUAUAAAAAAUUGUCAUGCAAUACUAGUUGUUCUAUGAGCUCUUGGGGAACGGGGAGGAUAGGGAUGGUGAUUAACCAAUUCAGAUCUAACGUUAGCAUUUCCUACCACGUGUGUCUCACCAAUAUUUUCAUCAUCUUCAUUUAAAUCUACCGCAUCUACUUUAUUUUCUUCGUCUAUACAAUAAUUUUUUUGAGCUUCUACAUAAUUUAUAUCGUGAGCAUCUACACCUACUUCUUACUCAAAAGGUUGACUAAGCGGUACCGGAGGCGGAGGCACAUGAGUAUAUCUUCUACUUGAACUACCUCUACCACCAGUAAUUCGCUUUUUACUACCACUAACACUUUCGUGAUAAAUUUUUUACACUUUUAGUGGUGAGGUUUCUUAAUUUAUCCAUAACAUAAAUCAAACUAAAAAAAUUUAAAAUACACAAAUAUAAUUAAAUGAAAUAUUCAAUAAUUAAUACACUAAUUAAAAAUUAAAAGUAAGAGAUGGAACGACAAUACCAAAUCUUUGAAGUAUCCAAAAGUUGUGACUUUAGAAACUUCCACUCGUACUUUGUAAUCGCAAAAUUAAAAAAUUAAAUUGAGCACUUUAGAAAAUGUAUAGAAUAUUUGAAUUUUGAGAAUUGAAUUUGAGAGAAUGAAAAUUGUGUGGAAAAUGAUUUGAAAGUGUAGGGUAUUUAUAUGAAUUUUUUUGGGUUUAAAUAAAUAUUUUAAAUUAAAAAGGUUUUUUUUUAUUAAAAAAGGCUAAGUAGCCGUUUGGACCCAAACCCAACAGUCAAAAAUCAUUUUUUUUAAAAGUUUCCGGGCCGAUUAAUCAAAGCCUGGAUCGAUUUUGGUUUGAACUGGAUUAACCGAGCCUAAUUUUAAAAUUGGCUCAGCCCGAGACCCGGUACCGUACAGCCCGGCGGCUAACUGGGACGGGUUAUUUAAGUGGACCGAUUUGGGCAAGCUCAAAUCGGCCCGAUUAACACCUGUACAUUGUGCAAUGUAAGUCACUAAACCCCAAGGACAAAUUUAUCAGCUUAAGAGGAAAAUUAAAAGGGAACAAAAAUAAAAAAAGAGAUUGUGAAGUUGUUUCUAAUUUAUUUUUAUAAUAGAUUAUUGUUAUUUAUAAGAAAAAUAAUAAGGCACUUAUAAAUACUAUUUUAUUUUAUUUUUUGUAGAAAAGGAUGAUUAUUCAUUACUACUAAAAAGUUGAAAACAUCAGUACACAUGGAAGCCAUUUGGAGGAUCUUCCCUAAUACUAUGACCAUUAGUACAAUUACAAACAUCCAACCAAACUUGUUUUAUAAAAACAGUCUCCAUCCUUAUAAAUACUACUUAAAACUCCCUUACUACUUAUAAAUACUACUGCUGGUCAUAAUCUCCCAAACUCCCAAACUUGUCUAGGCCAGGGCAUCUUGAUAAAAUUAGUGGCUUAAAGCCAAAUAGUAAUAGGAGUUCUUACAUGUAUAAAUAUACAUACAAAAAUACAACUGUAAUAAUUUAGAGUUGACUUAGUUAUUCUUGCAUAAUAGUUGUUUCGAUGUAGUAUUUUAAAAAAACACAACCUUUAACUUCACAUAUUAAUAUGAUUAUUAAUAAAAGUAUGGAUUAAUUUUUGUUAAUAAGAUGUUAGCCAUUUAUUUGCAAUGCAUUAACUUGGAUGUUGUUGUUAAAAUGUUAUUUAUUAAUAUAAAGUUUGAGUUGUUUAGUUCAAAGUUCUAAAAUAUUCCUUGUAAAAAUAAGAUAACUUUUUCUCUGUAAUUAUUAUUAUUAUUAUUAUUUAGAUACUUUUUAAAAAUGUAUUUCACAAUCUUCAUUAUUAUUCGAAGUGUAGUUUACUAUUAAAAAUUUGAGGCAACAAAAUUUUGGGGCCUAAAGCGAUGGCUUUACUAGCUUUACGCUUGAGCUACCCUAUGUCCAUCCAAAGUUAGUGUUCUUCCUGCCUUCUUCUUGAACUAGUCCAUCGUUCUUUUCUUAAACCAACUCCAUCAUACAAAUGCAUAAAAUAAUACAGAAAGUUCCAUUAUUCAUUUGAGAAGAGAAUAAAAUGAAAAUCAAUAUGAUCCUAUAGUGGUGUCGAUUGGUCCAUUUCACCACGAAAAAACUAAUCUUAAAUUUUUUUAAAAUUUCAAACUUACGGAUUUGAAAUUAUUCAUUUCCUAAAGUAGUUUAGAAGAGGAAUAUUUGUUCGACAACAUUCUAGCAGUAGUGAAAGAAGCCAGAAAAUACUACCUUGAUAUGGAAACCGAACGGUUUAGUGACAAUGAAUUUGCCUCAAUGAUGCUUUUGGAUGCAUGCUUUAUUAUGAACCAUAUGGAAAUAACCUUGAGGGACGACUCAGAAAAGGACUUUGCUACAAAAGAGCAGUUAGGAUUAUUUAUGGUGUCACAAACAAGUCGGGAUUUGGUUUUGAUGGAAAAUCAAAUCUUGAACUUCAUACUCCAGAUAAUGGUUAAACUAAGGGAUGAAGAAUAACAACAAAAUUUAAUGCCUUCCAAUUUUGAUGAUUAUUUAUUCUUUUCGGAACUAAGGCACCAUGGAGAUCCGAAAAUGUACAAUGAAUAACCAUUGCAUUUUGUCAAAUUAUUGCGCAUGUUAUUUGUCAACUGGCAAUUUAAUGGGGAUUUUCAUAUUCCAUUUGGAACCAAAAAUACUAACAGAAUACCUUUGGAGUCAAUUCAAUCGACUACGGCGUUGAGCAGUAAGGCUAUUUAUGUUCGCCCAAGCUCUCGUCAUGUUCCAAUGGACGUGUACAUCGAAAAACAUAGCCAUCUGCUUUACCUGCUUUACCCGCUUGCUUCACGACCAGAUUUGUCGUAUCUUAUUUUUUUAAUUAAAUUUUUGGUCCCAUCUGGACCAUUUUAUUUAUGUUGCUAAAAUCAAAGCAUAUCCACAAUUAUACAUUAAUCGGACGGUCCCAACAAAUGACCAGAUCCACUUGAAAAUAAGAUGUAAAGUUUCUUAAAACAUACAAAGCAUCCAUCCAUUUAAGCAAGAGUAGCAAGUACUUUUAUUCCUCAUCUGCCGCAUACUUUACUGUUCCAUUAUUACUGCUUCCUUUGCUGCUUGACUAUCUUGCGUGUUCUGAUUCAGAGAUUAUGGAUUUGAGUCUUAUCCAUGUUGAGUAACUUUCUUACCUCAAUCAAAAGUUGUAUGAAUAUGCUAAAUUCCAUUUCUAUUUGCUGCACAAUAACUUUACUAGCUAAAGCAUCUGCUACAGUAUUUUCUUCUCUAAAAAUGUGUGUAACAUUUCUUUGUACUGCUUUCAACAUGUAUUGAAUGUUUUCAACUCUUUCCACUACUCCCAUGGAUUUUUCCACUAAUCCUGAAUCAUCUUUUGAGAGAUAAGAGAGUCAUUUGCAAUGGUAACUACUUUUAUGUUUUGUGCUUGACAAUAUGUCAAAGCCUCUAUAAUUGUUGUAAUCUCUGCCUCUAUAUUAGUAGUUUACCCUAUUCCUUUAGCUUUUGGAAAAACCAAAUUCCCUUUUUCAUUCCUGAUGCAGAAACCAAUAGCCACCAAUACCUAGGUUCCCCAAACAUGCCCCAUCUGUGUUACAUUUAAAUUUACCGCUUUUCGAAAAACACCAUAUAACACUCAGACAAUGUAACCAAGGUCUGUAUUAUGUGAAGGUGUUUAUCAAAGAUGGGCAAUCUCUCUCUCCUACCAACACCCAAGGAUAUAAGAUUUUGAUGAAUUUUCUCACCAAGUCUUGUGACUGGCACACCAGGGUGUUAAAAAUAACUCUACCUUCGUGCUUAAUGCCAUUUCUUCUUUUCCACAGACACCACAUGAUCAUUGUUGGGUUUGUUUCAAACACCACUUUCAGUUUUGUAGGCACCUUCAUUAUCCACCAAGUCCAUAUCACCUGAUUUAGAUUCAUGUCUUCAAUGUCUAUAGCUGCAAAAAUAGCAAACUGCCUCCAUAGCCUUUUAGCUAUAUGGGAUGUUAGAAAAAGAUGCUCCAUAGUCUCCUCAUUUUUAUCUUCACAUCACCAACACCUAGUGACAAUGUUAAUUCUCAUGUUCUUGAGAUUGUCAUCGGUAGCUAUCUUUCUUCUCCAAACCCUCCACAUGAAGAAACUAAUUUUAAACGGCACUCCUUUCUUCUAAAUAUACAUGUAUUCCUUCUCAUCAUAUGGAAAGCUGAUUUAACAGAAAAUAUACCUUGAUUGUUACCCAUCCACCAAUCCCUAUAAUUGAGCUAAUCACCAACUGGAGGAUUUAUAUAUUCCAUUAUGUAAUCAGUCAUAUCUUGAGAUAGUCUGCUUCUUAACAUCUGAUAGUUCCAGCCUUCCUCAGUUUCAAAAUGUCUAACCUCCUAUUUCUUCUUCAACAACAUUCUCUCCUUCCACAAAAUAGAGGGCACUUUGUCUAGUCCAGUUUUCAAACCAGAAAUUUUAAUUUCCUGAUUUGACCUGCCACCAUAUAUUAUGCUCAAUGUAUUCCCUGAUGUCCUCUAAACUUGUCCAAGAUUGAGAUGAUCUAAGGGCCCUAGCCUGGGUAGGAUGUAGCUUUUGCAAUAUUUAUUCUACAUAAAUUCACUCCACAAAGAGGAGGUAGAAGUUCUAAAAUUCCACCAUAGCUUAGCAUUAAGGGCUUUAGAAACGGUAUGUAAAUAUCUAAAACCAAUACCAAUUUUUCCUUGGAUAGCACAUAGUUUCCCAAGAAACCCAAUGCUUAUUCUUGGCUCCAGUAGCAUUUCCCCAGAAAAACUUAGCAAAGAUUUUGUGAAUUUGAAUAUUAACCGAAACAGGAGGAUUCAUGGCGGAUAAAAAAUAUAUAGGUAUAGAUUUUAACACAUGAGCUAUUAAUAUAUACCUUCCUCUAAAAGACAAUAGUUUAUUCUGCCACAAGAUUAACCUUUUCAUUACCUUCUUAACCAAAUCCUCAAAGUAGCACUUUUUUCCCAUAAAAAACAGGACAUCCUAAAUAGGUCAAAGGAAAAGAACCCCGAGCAAUACCAGUUAUUCUUUUAAUUUUUAAACACAUACCUGUAGGAGUCUUUUCAUGUAGAUAGAAUAAACUUUUGUCUAGAUUAAUCAGCUGUCCUAAUAUUCUCUCAUACUCCCUCGAAAUAUUUUUCAUCUUCUUCAUAGAAACUAAGUGUCCUGAACAAAAGAGAAUAGGAUUAUCAUCAUAAGAGAGGUGAUUAAUUUUUGCUCCCCACUUAGGCAUACCAUAUCCUUUGAAUAAGGGAUCAUCAAACAACUUAUUUAAGAUCCUAUCUAGUACUUCAGCUGUAAUGAUGAAGAGAGUAUGAGAUAAAGGGCCUCCUUGUUUUUAUCCUCUAGAUGAUUGAAAGAAACAAAUGAUUGCCAUUCACCAACACUGAGUACCAAUUAUUACUAAGUAGCCAUACAACCAUAUCAAUAAUUCUUUCAUCAAAACCAAAUCUUCUCAAAACCAUAAUAAGGAAUUUCUAAGAAAACCUAUCAUAUGUUUUUGCCAUGGACAACUUAACCACCACAUUCUGUUCUUUGUUCCUCAAAUUAAUGUCUCUUAUUAUUUCUUAUACCAGCAACACAUUCCCAGUAAUACUCCUACCAUUAACAAAAUCACUUUGAUUGGGAGUAAUGAUACUAGGAAUUAAAUCAACAAUUCUUUCAUGUAAUACUCUUAAGAUUAUUUUAUUAGCAAAAGUACUUAAUCUUAUGGGUCUUAAGUCUCCAAAAGUUUUAACUAUUUCCUUCUUAGGAAUUAGUACCAAAUUGGUUUGAGUUAUAAACCUUGGAAUCUCUUGACCAUAAAAGAAAGCCUUCACCAUAUUUAUAACAUCCUCUACAAUAGUUUCUCAACAUGAUUGAAAGAAUUAUCCAGAGAAACCAUAAGAACCACUAGCACUCUCCCCAUGUAAAGCAAAAACCACCUGUUUCACUUCCUUCCUGGUUGGUAUAAUGACCAUGUUCUCAUUUUGCUCCUGUGUAAUCAUAUUAGGAAUAUAUUGGAUCAAUUAUGUGUUUUCUCCUUCCUGCUCUUGAGUGAACUGUUUGAUGAAAUAAUUAAUAGCCUUUUCUCCUAUGUUCUAGGUUGUACUGACCAUGUCACCUUGCAUUGUCUGAAUUUCUGACAACUGCAUUUUCGUUCUUCUUUCCUUUACAUAAGAGUGAAAAAAUUUUGUAUUCCUAUCUCCAUCUUUAAACCACCUUAUUCCUGUCUUUUGUUUCCAAUAUUCCUCCACUAAGUGUAAAUAUCUUUUCAAGUCAACUUCCACCCUAUUCAGUUCUAAUUUAUUUUCUUUAGAAUGACAAAUCUCCAAUUGAAUAUGCACUUCACUGUUGGGAAGAAGUUGCACAAAUUCACUAUUUCCAAAUACCCUAUCAAGCCUCUUGAAAAUAUACUCCUCUUCUAUUCUUCCAUUCCACCAAGUAUAAUUGCUACCUAUGAACUUUAGUUUAUUUAGAGCACAUUUACUAAUACAACUCAUAAAAUCAAUAGUUUCUUCUUGAGUAACAGGUAACCCUCCUAGCUUUUCUACCUCAUCCACAAUAGUAUUGAAAUCUCCCCUACCAACUAGGGGCAUUGCAAUUGAUAUUCAACCUAUUCUAAAUCUUUUCAUAAUUCUAGUCUCUUUAAAACACUACAUCUUGCAUAAACUGCAGAAAUGAAAAUAUUUUCAUUUGAACCCCUUCUCUAAAACUUCAUAGUUAUUUGUUGCAUUGAGUCUGAAAACUCUUCAAACUCCCAUCCAUCCUCGCAAAAUAUCCAUAUCUUAGCAGAAUAAUUCACUUUAGCAUUUGAUAAGCCUAAUCUCCUUCUAUAUUAUUCUAUCUCAUUUGGACUUUGAAAGGCUUAAAUAAAGCUAUAAGUGAGUAUUGAUAUGUAUUAUUUAAGUUUACUAAUCUCUCAAAAGAUCUUUGAGUUUUAACAGACUUAAUAUUCCAAAAAAUCACCUUAUUAAUCAUUGAUUAAUAGUAAAUGAGGACCCCUUCUUUCUCCUUGUAUGUAUUUAUGAUUGUUGAAGCCCAGGUUUACCACCCUUCUUGUCUUUUCCUUUCAACUGCUUGGUUUUUCUAGGUGAUAAAUCACCUUCCUUGCUUACUUUUUCUAUGUUGAGAUCAAUACUUUCAUCUUCUUCUUCAUUUUGCUUGUGAUUGACUUUCUUUUCUGAAAUGUUCUCAAUACUAGGUACCGAUGAUGUUUCUCAUUGAUCUUCCUCCCUUAUUUAUUGUAUGUUGUCACUCCUUUGUUGAUCUUCUUCUUUUAAGUUUUUCUCCUUCUCAUUAAUUUUCUUCUGACUUGACACUGCUGGAAUACUAUCAGCUCUUUCAUUUAUCUGCUCUACUGAAUUCUCUAGAUGGUGUAUGGAUUUGUGAGUGCUUUGUGCAUCAUGUUGACUGAUGUUCUGUGUUUUGUCACCUAUUUGUUCCAUUAGAUCCUUCAUAAUACCUCCUUCAUUGUUUUUUGUAUACAGUGUAUGGCAUUUCUAUAUUCACUUCCUCUUUGUUACCAAUUAUCUUAUCCACAUUGCUUUCCUAUAAUGCCUCAAAUUUGUUCUCCACAGCAACUUCUUUAUUCGAUUGGUAUUGAUUCCAUUCAUAUCUACCUCUGUUAAAUUGUCUUCCCCUUCUGAAAGCAUUCCUUUACUUUUGAUAUUUGAAUUCACCCUCUCCCUCUUUUGUAAUUUUUUAUUUAUCUUCCUGGGGUUAAACCUUUGCAUUUGAAUUUGAAUGUUGCUCAGCAACCUUCCCCUUUCCUGACUUGUACUCCUCAUUAUAAUCCUUGUUUUCACUUUCCUCUUCAUAUUUUUGGAAUAAUUCUAGAUGUAAUACAAAACACACCUUCUCAUUAUGUCCUUAAACCUGUAUGUCUUGAAGUAUUUAGGUACAUAAUCAUACCUAAUAUGGAUCCACUUUUCUUUAAUGUCCCCAUUCUUCAUCCUCAUACCCACAUUAGUUCUCUUUGGAAAAUCUCCCAGUAGAUCUACUUUCACCUUGACCCUUGCACAGCUGGAUCAAGACUGGGAUCUCUGUCUUGCUUUUCUUUCACCUUGAAAACUAAAGAUGAUUUUAAACUACUCUAAACCCAUAUAUUACCUUCUGCUGAAUUGACUAAGCGGACACUGGUGCGUGAGUAGAUGCUAAUACAUUUGAGGCUUUUAACUGAGAAUAAUUGUAAAGUCUUAAGCAACUUUUUUUUUAAUUGUUUUAUCUUUGAUAUUGCAGUAAAAGUCAAGAUGAAAGGAAACCAACAACAAUGGGUAAAAGACUUGAUUUCUGAGUAAGUAGAAAUGAAAGUAUAGCUGACGACUUGUCUGAUAAGUCGUCAGCAUUGUGAUAAGCUAUCAGAGUUGCCGUCAGCCUUAGAAAGAGAAUGAAAUUUAGCUGGAAGAUAUAACGACAACCUAUGAUAAGCCAUUAGAUGUGUGAUAAGCCAUCAGGCUCAUCGUUAAGCUUAGACAGAGAAUGGGAUUUGAAGUAAAGACGCGACAACAAUUCUGAUAAGUCAUCACAAAUCUGAUAAGCCAUCAGGAUUCAUCGUCAUCUUAAGACAGAAAUUGUUCAAAUGUGAAGAGGAUUUGAUGACAUUCCUGAUAAGGCAUUAGACUUCUGAUAAGCCAUCACACACAUCAUCGUCUGUCUAAAAAAAAUACUGUGAUCUGUGAUUUUGUUUCCAUAAUUAGGCUAAAGUGUUUUUAGCAUAUGUUAGGAUUUUCUAAGGAUAUCUUGACCUAUCUAAAACUUCACGUACUUGGUGAAUUUCUCUUUAGUUUUAUGAGUUUAACAACAGAGUUAUUUUUGGAGAGAUUGUAACCAUUGUUUUGGGAUUUUCUACUGUGAUCUACUUAGAGAAAUACUUAUUGUUAUUCAUCUUGCUAUAAGUUCAUCAAUCAGAUUAUGAAUUCAUCUCAUUGUCUUGCUUAUUAUCCCUUAACUCGAGUUGUGGGAUCUAUGGGUUUGGGUUUGUAACAUAACUAAGUGUUCAAGAUUUAAACGGUGGUAGAAACUCCUUAAUAAUUUCAUUAUUUUAUAUUCUGACUAUUGGUUGCAAACAAUAGUCUUUGCUUAAUAAUGAUUUGCUUGAGAUAAGAAAUCAACCCUAGUAAGAAGUGAAUUAUCAAUAGGGACUAAGAAGCAUCAAACUUCCAUUUAAUAAUUAAUGUUGUAACAAGAUUAAUUAACUUGAGAUAACAUCAUGUUAUGAAAUAUAAAUUCCCUAAUUUCGAGAGAAUUAGGUGGUUAAACGUCUAAAUAGGUUGAGAAACAUUUAGACAUAACUUCGAUAAGAAUAAUCUGUUAUUCCUACCUACCACAAGAAUCUUGAAUUGUUACUAGCGUCUGUCAAAUCCCAACACCCAUAGUGAACAUAACUCUGGUUUUCCUUAUCAUAUCAAUUUCAAACACUGAAUUGAGAAGUAAUUAUUUUCUACCUUUCCACAAACCCUCAUUCACAAGAAACUGCUAACUAUUAGUUGAUUAAACUGCAAAUAACUCAAAUUUACACCAUAUUCCCUGUGGGAUUCGACCCCAACCUAGUUGAUUUAUAUAUUGACAACGAUUGCUUACAUUCUCGUAAGAGAGGUAUAGUUUGAGUUUUAUCAAGAAUGGCGCCUUGCCGGGGAAUUCGGUUGUAAAUUUAAGUUUGUGUGCGCUAAUUGAUUGUUAGUUAAGUUUUCCAAUUUUAUGUUUAUUUGUUGUUUUUGUUUGUUGCAUGAACACUAUUGUGUAUGCCAAAAACCAGAAGUUCAGGAGAAGCGUUAUUACCGUUCAAUUUAGAAUCACAAUUAAUCAACAGAAUGGCAGACCAAUAAGAGGCUGAUAGACUAGCAGCCUUGGCUAUAGCUUAGGUUAAUCUGUAGAAUGACAGUCAACAAGCCCGUCAUCCAAAUCCUGAGGAUGAGGACUUAAGGGAUGAGGAUUUACUGAAUCCUGCUAACCUAAGGCGUGCAGAGCAAUUAGCUACACUAGUACAACGUAAUGCCAACAUGAACCAUCCAUUCAGAGCAAGGUAGGAUCGCCAGCCUACCCAGUAUAAUCCCAAUAAUGAUGAUGAUAGAAUGGAUGGAGAAGGUGCUAUAAAUGUAAUUAUUCCUCCACCGUUAGCACCUGGGGAAAAAUUCAACAUUACCAGUACCAUGAUUCAACUCCUUAAUUUAAAGGGGUUAUUUGGUGGUCUUCCUGGGGAUGAUCCGAACUUGUAUAUGGUGAAAUUUGUCACCAUCUGUAAAUACUUUGAUAACCCAGGAGUGGGUCAUAAUGCUAUCCAUUUGAGAUUGUUUCCAUUAUCUCUAUCUGGGGAGGCAAUAUUAUGGCUUAAUAAGCUGACGCCCGAUCUAUAACCAACUGGAGGUAGGUGAAAGAAGCUUUCCUAGAAAAGUUCUUUCCACUUUACAGGAGGGUACAGUUGAGGGAUGAGAUCAGUAACUUUAGAAAGCUCCCAGCUGAAGCCUUGCAUAAAACUUGGGAGAGAUUUAAAAAAAAGCUGACGCAGUGCUCGAACCACAAUAUGAUGGACAUACACUUGAUGGAGACUUUGUAUAGGGCUCUUAACUCUGUGAUAAAACCGAUUGUAGAUAAUGUUGUUGGUGGUUCGUUUGUUGAUCUUACAUUCUUGUAAGAUUCAGAAAUGCUAGAAAAAAUGGCCAAAUAGAGUUGAGCUUAGCAUACCAGGGAUUCUGUGGUAGCAAGCCCCACUGUUUUUAUUGGUAUGACUAUAGAACAACACAGAAGAGAUGAGGAGCGAGAUCAGGACAUAGCUCACCUGAAGACACAGAUGGACUUUCUAACCAAGCACUAACUAUCAGGAAAGACUGAGAAAGUGAAGGUUGUGGGAUCGCAGGGCAGAGUUGAGUCUAACUUAGAAGAAGAAGUGAACUAUAUGAAUAAUCAGGGGGGUUUGCGAGGCAAUAUCCUAGGGAAUCAAGGUCGGAACUACUAUAACAAGUCUGGUUAUAAAGAUAGGGAGAAAGGAAAUUGGAGGAUCAAUAAUGAUAGGAGUGGGCUAUAUGUCCUACCUGGAAGUUCAUGAGGCUGCUGCAACAAGUUCUAAAAAGAUGUCUAUGGAGGACAUGAUUGUUAAAUUGUUAAAGGGAGUUGAGGCAACCAAAUCUAGGAUGAACACCAUGAAGACUGAUGUAUCUUCUAUGAGCCAGUUGGUAAACUCACACUCCACCUCAAUCAAAUAGUUGGAGCAGUAGAUGAGCCAACUCUUCACAGCACUUAAACAGAGGAAGAGUGGAAUAUUACAAGUGAUACAGUUCAAAACCCACAGAAUGAUGGCUCAUGUAUGGCUAUGACCACAUAGAGUGGUGAGGUUUUAUCAGGACCUUCUGUGUGCCAAAGUUUGAGUGAAAAUAUGACUGAAGAAGAUGAUGAACCCGAAGAAAAAUGUCUAGUGGAGUCUAAGAAGCUGGAUGGUUCUGAUGAUGCUCUAAAACAAAGAAAAGAGAAAGAAAAGGAAGUAGUGAUAAAAACUCUCCUAAGACCACCACCUCUCUUUCCUCAAAGAUUUAAGAACUUGGAUGAUGCAAAAUUUAGAAAGUUCAUGGCGAUGUUGAAGCAGUUGACAAUAAAUGUGCCUUUUGUAGUGGCACUUGAACAAAUCCCAAGAUAUGUUAAAUUUAUGAAGGAUCUGGUGAUGAAGAACAGGGCAGUACUCUACGAGCUAGUGGAUAAUUUCCACUAUUUUAGUGUCAUUUCUACAUUAUCCUUAGUGCAUAAAAAGGCUGACCCUGGAGCAUUCACUAUCCCAUGUACAAUUGGGUCUCUUAAAGUUUCUAAGGCCCUAUGUGAUCUGGGAGCUAGCAUCAAUCUAAUGCCACUAGCGGUUUAUGAAAAUUUGGGCUUGGGAGACCCCACACCCACUAACAUGUGACUUGUGAUGGCUGAUAGGUCAAUAAAAUGACCUGUUGGUGUAUUACAUAAUGUGUUAGUAAAGGUGGCUGAUUUUAUAUUCCUUUCCUAGUUUGUAAUCCUUGAGUGUGAAGUGGACUUUGAAGUACCCAUUAUUUUGAGUAGACCCUUUUUAGCCACUGGGAAAGUGAUAGUAGACAUGGAUCGGAAUGAAAUGAAGUUUAGGCUCAAUGAAAAAAAGGUUAGUUUUAAGGUGCACCAAUCCCUGAAAUAGAAGAAGAAGAUGGAUGUCUUCUCGAUCGUUGAUAUGUACUAUGAAGAGGUAGGAGACACACCAGCUGAACCAGGUCGAAAGCACUUUCUUGAUCUAUCAAAUAAGGUAAAGAAGUAUAAACAAGGUAUCUCCAUGAAGUCUAAGUAAUCGAGAUAGCUGCAUCGUGACACGAUGAUAAAUCAGGCGCUAGUGGGAGAAAACCCAAAAUUUUUAUGUUUAACACAAGUUAUUUUAUUUAAUUAGAUGGUAAUCAUGGUAAAAUGAUGAGGUAUGCAAAGACUGGGAUAAAACUAAUGUAUCCUGCUAAGUGAUUCUGACGACAUAUGUGACGAGCUAUCACAAUUAUGAUAAGCCAUCAAAUUUGAUGUUAGAGAAGUCAUAUUUGAUGGUAUGUCUAUUAAGUCUGACGACGAUUAUGAUGGUGCAUCAGCUUCCUGAUAAGUGUCAGGUAAAAUUAGGCCCAGCAUCUAAAAUUUGACCCGGCCCACUGUCAAACUUCUUACCUUCCCGCGUAUCUUUUCAACUUAUUUCUUUCCAUUUUUAGUUUAUUUUCUUUCCUAGUUUACUUAUUUCUUAACAAAACAAAAAUUGGUUCCCUUUUUACUCAUUGAUUUUGAGUUCAAAAGCAAGAAUCCCUUCUUUCCUUUCUCUUCUUCCUUGCCCACUCAUGAAGUUCAGUCAAAAUAGUUACCAAGAAUUCUAAGCUACCAAUAGGUAUGUUCUUAGUUAAUCCCUUUCUUGUUAUUUGGUAAGUAGCAAGGUAGUGUUGAACAUUGGUUCUCAAGGAUUUUUGGGUCAAAAUUAGCAAAACAAUGUGUGGAAACUAAAAUUAGGGUUUACUAUGAUACAUUGCACACAAAAAUCUAAAAGCCCAGCUCAAGAAUUCAACUCCAUGUGAUUUUGAGAAGAAAAUGGAUUGAUAAUCAUGUAACAUAGAGAUGGGGGUUGUGUUCUGAUCUGACGACAUAUCUGAUAAGUUAUCAUAAUUGUGAUGAUUUAUCAGAGCAUAUUGUCACAAAUGGAUAAAAUAGAGCCUAUUCUAUUUAAGGCUGACGACAUAGCUGAUAAGCUAUCACAUAUAUGACGACUUAUCAGACCAUGUUGUCAUACCUGUAAUUCGAAGCAUUAAUAAACACUUUUCAGGGAUAUGGAACUUCAAUGAUUGAUAUGUUUGUGUUAUAUACUCUUGAGUUUUGACUAAUUAUUUUUAUCUUACUACAGGUCUUGUAAUGGCACCCAAAGGAAAGAGCCCUAAAUCUACAAAGAAAGUGACUAAGGGGAGUGUACCUUCGAAACUCCUUAAUGAGGAAUCCGAUUAUAAAGAGGAGGAGCCACUGCUCAGGAAGCAAAGGAAAAAGAAAAUCCUAAAAAAUCCUUUGCCACCUCCACCAGUUGAGGUACAGGAGAGUGAAGAAACUGAUACUAAGGCAACAACACCAUCUGAUCGUACAUCUUCUGAGCAACCUGAAUCUGGAAAUUCUGAGUUCGAGGAACCUGAGUAGGAACAUACUAAUUCUGAGCAACCUGAAUCUGAGGGACCAUCAUCUGAGUCCCAUUCUUCUGAACAAUAGGCUAAUGAAGAUCCUCCAACCCAGGGAAAUCUGAUUAAAUGCAAGAACCUUGGUGUUCGAGAGAGCGCUAAAUGGCAAAUCCCAGGGGAAAAAGAGAUUUUAUAUAAAGGGCUUCUUAGAACAAAAAGAAAACCCAUUAAAAGGCUAAUUUUUGAAGGAAAAAAUAUCAUCACAACUGGGUUGAGCAGAUACCCUAAAGUAGAGUAGAAAUUCUACGACUAUGACUUAGGAUGGACCGCAAAAAGAGGAGGCUCAUUUUUUCCUACAUUAGUUUGGGAAUUCUAUACGAACUGCCAAGAUAGAUUGGAGAACAUGUGCAGAGAAGGGGAGAGUUCAGCCGAUCAGCCCUUGAUUUAUAGAGUUCCAGUACAAGGUGUAAUGGUGGAUCUCUAAAAAAUGACAAUCAACAGAUUUCUUCAUGGCCUCAAAUUCACUCCUCAGACCACGUUACCUACAAUCUAUGCUCGGUUGAAGCAUCAGGUAAAUCAAUGGUCUUGGUUAGCCACCCUCAUUGCUGAAGAAGAACCUGAAUGGAUGACCAACCCAAAUGAAAGGAUUUUCAAGGUGUCCCUGACUCAAUAAGCAAGGUUCUGGUGGGGUGUAGUAUUCACCCAUUUGAUGCCUACUAAAGGAGAUAACAUCCUUGGAGAUGAUAGAGAAAUACUGGUUGUAAUUCUUAUAGCUAACCUUAAAUUGAACUUUGGAGAGAUAAUUGCUCAGGAAAUAAAAAUUCGAGUAUCAUGACCUGACACAGUAUACCCAUUCCCAUGUUUGAUUACAAAGUUAUAUGAGGUGGCUAAUAUGCCUGAGGUUGCGGGAAUAGACCAAGACUUUCCUGCCAAGAAAACCCACAACCUCAUCCAAUAUGAUGAAAAUUAGCCUAGGCUGACACUUGACAGAGGAGCAGAGGUUGCAACAAAUCUACCAGUUAUAGGUACUAGCUCAGCACCUAAUGUAGAGGUGUAGGAUUUUGAAGAUGCACCAUCGACAUCCUCAACACAAGAAGAUUCAGUGCCUAAAAAUGAGACAAACCCUUCAGCUAUUGUGCUUAUAAUAGAAUUUUCCCUCAACUCGAUGAAUUUUAGAAGAGUGGCAAAACAAGCCAAGUGGUGUGAGGCUCAGCUGCAAUAUUUUGCCAAGCAGUUUGCCUCUGCAAUAGACAAGAGGAUUUAGGUUGCGCUUAAACCCUUCAAGGCACUGCCGAGUUGGGUUGAUGAAUUAGAGAACCAUUUCUAUGUACGGUUGAAAGAAAUUUUGAUUCCAGAUCUUGCACUCUUCAGAUCAGACCUAGACAAGGUAAAAUCAGAUGUUGGAAGAUUAUAGAAGCACCAAUUUGUAGUGUCAGUAGGUCCGGCUAUUGAUAAGUCUGAGGAUGAAGUUCCCUUGAUUGAUCUCAAUGGGGAACCAGUAAAGAAAAAGAAGAAAAAAUCCAAGAAGAAAUAUAAAGGUAAUAGAGAAAGGCCAGAUAGCGAUGAAGAAAGAAAAAUAGAGAAGAAGGCAAGAAAAAGGAUUAAAAGUAAGAAACAAAGAAGGCGAUGAUCGAGUCAUGAGCUGACAAUGACAAAUAGGAGGAGGCCCUAAGAGCGAGAGUUGUAGGUGCCUCAACUAGUAGGCCUCCAACAAUUGUUAGGCCAAAUGUGUCAGAUUGGAGGAAGGCUCCCGAUGGAGAUAAGGCAGUUGAGGAUGCAGCAGCAGGGUCAGGAGUACUCUAGGUAUACCCUAACCCUUAGUUUAGUUUUUAUUUAAUUUUAAGUUGAGGGUGUAGGGUGAGUUGUUGCUGUAAAAAUUUUGUAACUGACUAGGAGAAAUACAAGUAACUGAGGCAGUUAACAUAGGUUUGUUAUUUUGUGAACACCUCUUAAAUGGUCUGAUUAUUUAACUAUGUGAUUUGCAUCUAAUUGUGACCACUGUGCAUCUUGUUAUAGAAUUAGUUCUAGUGACUCGAUAAUCAUUGCUAAGAAAUUUCAUGAACUAGAUAAGUAGUAAAUUGUGAUAUAAUUGGGUGCCAUGUGAAUGUGAGAUCUUACUUAGUUCCCUUUGUAUGAUUUUAUCCAGAACUUUCCCAGUUAGUCUUAACUCAGUUGAAGGAUAGGGUUUAGGAAAGGAUCAUAGGCCAUUUUGAUAGUAGUCCACUUCUAGCCUAAAUUACCUUCCCUAUGAUAUCCCUUGGUCCUAAUUUUGCGCCUCAAUACAUAUUUAUUUUUAUGACACUAUCACUUUUCCAUUUAUAUCACAAUGAACCGUUUUGGCCCUGGUCCUCCUUGGACACUGUGCACCUUGACUUAGGCAAAUGUCCUAAGUUAAAGGUGGCUAUCAUAGGGGUGCGUAAUGUCAAAUGAGUAUGAAUAAAGGUAUAAUAAAAGAAAAGAAUAAAAAGUUAGGUGCAGUGGAAAAGAACAAGGAAAGAAAAGUUGUGAAAAAAAAGAAGUGAUUGUAGAAAAAACCACACCCAUCUGGAAUAUGUGUGAUCAAUAAAAGAAAAGAAUAGAAAAAGGUUAAUAAGUGAGACCCCAGAAGAUAGUGUAGUGUCAAGGAGGCUUAGCCACAUUAAAUAUCAUCAAGUAUCAUAUCAUCCCCUAGCCUACAUUACAAGCCAAAGAGAAGACCUAUAGUGAUCCUCCCUGACCUGUCUAAAAAUCCUGGUAUCAUCAAGUAUCAUACCAGCCCCCAGCCUACAUUACAAGCCAAAAGAAAAGAGCUACAGUGAUCCUAGAUGACCUGUCUAAAAAUCCUGGUAAUGAAAAUAAGGGAAAUCCUAUGGUAUUUGGCAUACAUUGAUUAGAAUUUCAUUUUGAAAGUGAGUGUCUUUUGACUGUCCCCAUGGUUUCACAUGUGAUUUCUAAUAUUAGAAAAGGGGAACUUCUUUGUAGUGAGGGAACACGGGUUAUAUUGCUAGUUGCUAACUUGUUCGGAUAGUGUAUUCUUGGUACAUGCAUUGUUGUUGUUGCUGAAUUGAUGCCCUAUCUUGAUUCUUGUGUGUUGCAUUAUUAUUCUUUAAUAAUUUAGAGACAGUUGUUUUUAAAUUAAUUGACCUUGGAUAUGGUGAAGAUGUUUUGAGAUGAGAUGGAUGGUUGACUGCCGAAUGUACUUGUAUCCUCUUGUUUGUGUUUUUGUUUCUUGGGGACAAGCAGUUGUCUUAAGUUGAGGGAGUUGUUGUGUGAGCAGAUGCUAACACAUUUGAGGAUUUUAACUAAGAAUAAUUGCAAAAUCUUAAACAACUUUUGUCAUUUUUUAUUAUUUUAUCUUUGAUAUUGCAGUAAAAGUCAAGAUGAAAGGAAACCAACAAUAAUGGAGGUAAAAGACUUGAUUUCUGAGCAAGUAGAAAUGGAAGUAUAGCUGAUGACUUGUCUGAUAAGUCAUCAAAAUUGUGAUAAGCUAUCAGAGUUACCAUCAACCUUAGACAGAGAAUGGGAUUCAGCUGGAAGACAUGACGACAACUUUUGAUAAGCCAUCAGAUUAUGAUAAGUCGUCAGGCUCAUCGUUAAGCUUAGACUGAGAAUGGGAUUUGAUGUAAAGACGCGACAAUAAUUCUGAUAAGUUAUCACAAAUCUGAUAAGCCAUCAGGAUUCAUUGUCAGCUUAAGACAGAACCUGUUCAAACAUGAAGAGGAGCUGACGACAUUCCUGAUAAGGCAUCAAACUUCUGAUAAGCCAUCACACACGUUGUUGUCUGUCCUAGAAAAAUACUAUGAUCUGUGAUUUUGUUUCCAUAAUUAGGCUAAAUUAUUUAAAACAUAUGUUAGAGUUUUCUAAGGAUAUCUUGACCUAUCUGAAACUUCACGUACUUGGUGAAUUUAUCUCUAGCUGUAUGAGUUUAACAACACAAUUAUUUUAGAGAGAUUGUAACCAUUGUUUUGGGAUUUUAUACUGUGAGCUACUCAGAGAAAUACUUAUUGCUAUUCAUCUUACUGUAAGUUUAUCUAUCAGAUUAUGAAUUCAUCUCGUUGUCUUUCUUAUUACAUUAUGAGUGGCUAAUCUCCCUUAACCCGAGUUAUGAGAUCUAUGGGUUUAGGUUUGUAACGUAACUGAGUGUUCAAGAUUUAAACAGUGGUAGAAACUCCUUGAUAAUUCUAUUAUUUUAUAUUCUGACUAUUGGUUGUAACAGUAGGCUUUGCUUACUAGUGAUUUGCUUGAGAUAAGAAAUCAACCCUAGUAAGAAAUGAAAUAUCAAUAGGGACUUGGAAGCACCAAACUUCUAUUUAAUAUUUAAUGUUGUAACAAGAUUAAUUAACUUGAGAUAACAUCCUGUUAUGAAAUAUAAAUUCCCUAAGUUUGAGAGAAUUAAGUGGUUAAAUGUCUAAAUAGGUUGAGAAACAUUUAGACAUAACUUCGACAAAGAUAAUUUGUUGUUCCUACCUACCACAAGAAUCUUGAAUUGUUACUAGUGUCUGUCAAAUCCCAACACUCAUAGUGAACAUAACUAUAGUUUUCCUUAUCAUAUCGUUUUCAAACACUGAAUUGAGAUGUAAUUAUUUGCUACCUUUCCACAAACCCCCAUUCACAAGAAACUGCUAACUAUCAGUUGAUUAAACCACAGAUAACUCAAAUUUACACCAUAUUCCCCAUGGGAUUCGACCCCAACCUAGUUGGGUUGUAUAUUGACAACGAUCGCUUACAUUCUUGUAAGAAAGGUAUAGUUUGAGCAUUAUCAGAAACCUAGUCUGGAAAGCUGAUGGACUUCCUGAGAUAACUUCUUCUUACUAUUCUCAACAUGAGCAACACUAACCAUAGACAGUCCACUGAGAGCGUCGGCCACUACAUUAGCCUUGCCCAAAAUAUAAAGGACACUCAUGUCAUAAUCUUUCAAGAGAUCUAACCACCUUCUCUGAUGGAGAUUAAGGUCUUUCUGAGAGAAGACAUACUGAAGGCUUUUAUGAUCUUAUAAUACAUCUACAUGAACUCCAUAUAGAUAAUGCCUCCAAAUAUUUAAGGCAUAAACUAUGGCUGCAAACUCAAGAUCAUAAGUAGGAUAAUUCUUCUCAUGGAUCUUAAGCUGCCUGGAGGCAAAGGCUAUGAACUUACAUUGCUUAAUUAGGACACAACCCAAACCCUCUCUGGAUGCAUCACAAUCCACUACAAACCCAUCUGAACUAUCUAGUAAUGCUAGAACUGGAGUUGAGGUGAGUUGAGUCUUCAAGUCCUGAAAAUUUUUCUUGCAAGGAUCUGACCACUAAAACUUGACUUUCUUUUGAGUCAACCUAGACAUAAGGGAUGUAAUAUAAGAAAAUCCCUCAAUAAACCAUCUAUAAUAUCUAGACAAAUUGAAGAAACUCCUGAUAUUUAAGGGAAAGAUAUGGCGAGGCCAGUUUCAUACUGCUUCGGUCUAUUGAGGAUCAACUCUAAUGCCACCACCGAAAAUAAUAUGACCAAUGAAUGCUACUGACCUUAGCCAAAAUUUGCACUUACUGAAUUUGGUGAACAACUGAUAAUUUCUAAGAGUCUGAAGUACGAUUCUGAAAUAGUCUGCAUGAUCACUCUCGAUCUCACUGUGGAAAUAAACAAGGAUGUCAUCUAUGAAGACUAUGACGAACAUGUCCAAAUACUUCUUGAAAACACGGUUCAUUAAGUUCAUGAAGGUUACUGGAGUAUUGGUAAGACCAAAGAACAUGACUAAGAAUUCAGAAUGACCAUACCGGGUCCUAAAAGUUGUCUUUAGAAUGUUUUAUUCUCUGAAUCUGAGCUGAUGAUAGCCUGAUCUGAAGUCUAUUUUAGAAAAAUAGCUGGCACCCUAAAGUUGGUCCAACAAGUCAUUAAUUCUGGGAAGUGGAUAUUUGUUCUUGACCAUGACCUUAUUGAGUUGACGAUAGUCUCUCCAUAUUCUAAGAGAAACAUCUUUUUCUCUGCAUAUUAUGAGAGAACCAUCUUUCUUGUACACGAAUAAGAUUAGUGUGCCCCAAGGUGAAAUGCUGAGUCUGAUGAAUCCCUUAUCUAAGAGAUCCUUUAGCUGUUUUUUCAAUUCUUGAAGUUCUGUUGGUGCCAUUCUGUAUGGCGGGAUAGAUAUAGGCUGAGUAUCUAGAAGAAAAUUAAUGUAAAAAUCUGUUUCUCUUUUGGGAGGAAUUCCUAAAAGAUCUUCAGGAAAGACAUCUAAAUAUUCAUGCACUACUAGGACUGAUUCAAGACUGGGAGUUUCAGAACUAGUAUCCUUAACUCAAAUAAUACUAUAGGGACAUCCCUUAGAUAUCAUUUUCCAUGAUCAAAGGUAGGAAACAAGCUGACCUCUAAAGGCUGAAGUACUACCCCUCCACUCUAGGAUGGGUUCAUUUAAAAAUUGAAAUUAGACUAUUCUAUUUCUGCAGUCGACUAUGGCAUAGCAGGAAUCUUACUGAGAAUGACAUCAAAAUCAGUCAUAUCUAACUCAACUAAGUCUGCUUAAGUGACUUUCUGAGAUAUCAUAACUGAACAGUUCUUGUAUACCCAUAGGGUAUGAUGGUUUUAUUUACUGGGUAGAGACAGAGAAGGGCUUUGCUAGAUUUUAGGACUGACUCCAAAAUAACUGUUAUGUAAGUAGUAACAAAAGACAAAGAAGUUCCUGGAUCUAUCAGAGCAUAAACAUACAAGUAAAAGAACUAUAACAUACCAGUAACCACAUUAGGGGAGUUUUCCUGAUUCCUUCGGGACUGAAGAGUAUAAAUGCGGUUUGGGUGUUGCCUACUAGUAGCACUAGAGGUGGCACUCUGCUGAUUUGGGCGACCGAACUGAGCUAAGGAAUGGUUAUUCUAUCCCUGAGAACCUGGAUGAGGACAAUAUCUAACUCUGUGGCCUGGCUUGCCACAUUCAAAGCAAACAUCAUUUCCAGCUCUGCAAGUACCCUAAUGGUUCUUAACACAUGUCUGACAAAGAGGAUAGGUUCAGGCACUACUAUCACUGCCCUGUGACUUAGAUCCUGGCACUUUAUCUCUAUUGUCGUCUUUGAAUUUCGAUUCCAAAGCACUGUCUGAGGAAGGGAGCUAGAAUAGAUGACUUAGGUCAAAACUAAAAAUGAUUCCCUCUUUCUGACUUAGGCUGAGCAAAGUUGAAACUACCUGUCCUUGCUCUCUUAUUCUACUUCUCUCUCAUCUUAAUCUCAUGCUCUUGUAUCUAUUGAGCAUGGAUCAUAAGCCUGGCUAUGUCUAUCUCACUAAUUAACAUUGCAGAUCUAUACUCAUUGACCACACUAUCAUUCACCCCAGAAACAAACUUACUCAUUUUAGCCCUGCUAUCUGCCACCACAUAAAAUGCAUAUGUUGCUAAUUGAGUAAACUUAAGAAAAUACUCUUUCAAUAUUAUGUUUCCCUACCUUAGGUUGAUAAAUUUUAAUACCUUAUCUUCCCUCAGCUCUAGGGGAAAGAAUCUAUCAAGAAAAGUAGUGGUAAAAUCCUCAUACUCUAUAGGCUCUGCAUCACUAUCCCUCUCUACCUUCCAUUGCUUGAACCAUGUGUGAGACACAUCCUACAACUAAUAUGCAGCUAGAUCAACACUCUUAUUAGCAAUAACCCCAUGAUUUCUUUAACCUUCUGAACUUGAUUAAGGAAUUCCUGAGGUUCUUCAUCUAAUUUAGACCUAAAAAAAAGAAUGGAGGAUUUAUUUGGGUAAAGUCCCAAUCCUGGCUACAACUGAAUUGGCCAAUGGGUUUUUUGGAAUGGCAGUUGGUUGUUCAUUCUGGGAAGCAACUGAAUUAUUAAGUGUAGUGAAUGCAGCUCUGACUUCUGCAUGAGAAAUAUGUUUGUCCAAGGGAUCUUCUUGGACGGGCUGAGGGGCUGACUGAUUUUCAUUCCUUCUUUUGAGAGGCAUAUUUUGUAAAUGAAAAGGGAGAAAUAGAUUAGACUGAGAGUUAAAAUUGAGCUCUUGCUCACUGGCAUGACUCGAAUACUGAAAAAAGGGAAAUUGUUCUUAAAACAUCUCAUAGCCUCCUACAUAUAAAUAUGGUGUGCAACACACCCAUGCACAAGACUCUACUAGAUGUGUCUUUCAGACUUCCUAGGACUCUAUUGAACCUUAGGAUCUGAUACUAAGUUUGUAACACCCCAAAUCUGGUAUCCAGAACACUACAUGGUGCUCAUAACCUUGAAGGACCACAAGCUAACCCAUGACUGAUAUCUGUACCUGACCACUGCAUAAUAUAUUGUAAAAAUAUGCAGAAUAUAAACUGUAAGGCCAUAAUCUAAAUGAGGUAUAUAAAUAUGCAAUACUAAAUAAACUGUCUGAACAUGCUAUAAUCUGAAAAACACUAUAGUUUGAAAGCCUCUAAAACUGAUUUAUCUGAAUAAGGAGUUUAAGGGGCAGGUCCCCAACUAACUCUAAAUGGCUGAAAUAAUAAAAUAAUGAACUAAUAAAAUAAUUAUGUAAUAGCAUCCUUGAAUGAUAAGGACUCACUGCUGACUAUGACUGUUGAAGCUGGAAUACUAUUAAUGCUCUGGAGCUCCUGCAUCUGAACCUAUGGUAAUAAAACACCAUAGCGCGAAUAUGUUAGUAUGAUUAAAUGUACUAGUAUGAAAGUGAGGUAGGCUGAAUACAAAGGUUUCAUAUGCAUGAACUAUGCUAACUGACGGAAUAACAUAAGCGUGAGAAUACAUGCAUGGAUGAGACAUUGUAAUAGAAUUCAUAAAGAUACUGACUACUGAGUUUGAAUACUGACAACAUGAUUUACCGAUAACUGAUAUAACUGAUAUAAUUGAUACUGAUACUGAGUGACUGUGGUUGAUAGUCUAGGUUUAGAUGGAACUAGCUGAGUUCUAUACUAAGUUGGAUGACUGUGUCUAAUAGUCCUAAAAUCUAAAGAACUAUCUGAGUUCUUUCUGAGACUGAUACUGAGAUUGAAAUUAUGAGAAGUAGUCAUCUAUCCGACAUGCCCCAAAUAAAUUAAUAUAGCUGAGUUGGGGUCCAAUUUGUAACCCCAGUUGGAAGAGUGUCAAUACUGCGCCACUGUAGGACAAGCUGUGAGUGAUCCCUCAUCUAACAGGUACUCUAUAGAGAUCAUGGGACCCUCAUAUAACAGGUCAAUUUACCUCAUCAACCCUCAUAUAAUAGGAUAGAUGUCUCAACCUAUGGUGGCUACAUAGUUCUGGAGUGCAAGGACUGCUUCUAAGAAUCACACCCUCUAACAAUGGUGAUUUCCCAUCCUUUGGCUUACUUGGUACUGAAUCCUACUCCUAUUUGAAUAGAAACUGAACAUGAUUAACUAAACUGAGCUGGACUAAUUUUAUUGAGUUCCAUUAAUGAUGAUAGGCGAAAUUACGCGCCUAUAUCAAUAUAUUUUGCCCAUAUUUUAGCCUAGUUUCGAGAACUAAUUAUCUAUUUCGUACACUUUUAGUCCUUUUUCCUGUAAAUGAGCUAACAAAUGUGAUUAGGAAAGUUUCAGGUAUAAAUGAUGCAAAAUACAGCAAUUUAUGGCUUACUUGACGCAAAAGAAAGCUCACAAACGAGAUGGAAAGGAGCUGGACGCAUAAAGGACUAAAUCUGCUGCAUGGAAAAUCUGUCCCGGGCUAAAACAGUAUUUCUGAAGACUCUGGGACUUACAGACACAAAGCUGGAUUUUUGCCAUAAUACAUUAACCUAGUGCAAUUAGGUUAUGUGUUUCAUCAUUCUAUUUGGAUUAUAAUUUUGUAACCUUACCCUAGUACAAUUGGGUCAAGGAUUUCAUUAGUAUAUUAGGAUUUGGUUAUUUAUUUUAUUAGUUUAGUAGGAGUAGGAUAGGAGUAUUAUAAAUACCCUAUCAUGUUAGAGAUUUUCAAGAAGGGAGACAUUCUGACAAUUCAUUCAUCUCCUUACAAUUAAGACAUCUUCCUACAACCCAUUCUCAAUUCUUCAUUCUUCUACUCUUAAAUUCCACAACAAGAGAAUCGUUACUUGCUACGGAAUCACUAAAACCACACGCCAAACACCUACUAUUCACACCAUCCACCAUGCAAAGCGUGAUAUCCUUCGCAUUCAUGGGUAACUAAAUCUCUUAGUUGGGGUUAUGGAAGCCGAAUGAGUUACUAUCUAUAGCUAUGAGUUUGUGAGUUCAAGACAAGUAUAUUGCUUAUAUCAUUAUUCUCUUCAUCUUAAAUCUACAUUCUUUGCGGUUCAAACACAAGAACACGCCAUUCUAACAUCUAACCUGUUCGAGAGAAAGGUUAUUUGUCUAGAAAAGAAGACGCAUAGACCAACGCCAGUCUAACAUCUGACUUGUUCGAGAGAAAAGUUAUUUGUCUGGAAAAGAGAUAAUGUCAAGGUAGUAGGACACCCUUUCCUAUUAAAAAGCUAGUGCCGUACCUGGACUAACUUCUUGGAGAAUUCGUACCGUUAGUCACGCUUUAAGCUCGAGAGAGUUAAAGUGAAAUAGUCCUUGUUUAGGUCGAGAGACGCUUGGAUUUACCAUCGACUACAAUUCUCUAUAAGCAAUUACAUGUCAAGACUCUACACACUCAUAGCCAAUAGAGACGUAUACCUCAGAAGGUGGACAUAACCCCAACGCCUCAAUUCUCAUUGUUUACAACACACGUGACAAUCUCUCUUUAUUUUGCUAUUUUCAGUUCUUACAUUCUUGUUUUGGUUACAUACUACAAUCCCCCCUUUCCUACGAGACUUGCACUAAAAGUCUAGUAAUUUCUCUUGCUUGUUGGCCAAGCUAUUCUCUGUGGGAUCGAUACCCAACCCAGGUUGGGUUCUAUAUUUGCUAACGACCGCUUUACACUCCCACGAGAGCUGUAGAUUGAGCGUUAUCAAAAAUUGGCGCCGUUGCCGGGGAAUACGAGUGUCAAUCAAGUUCGUGAAAAUUACUAGACCCUUUGGUCAAAGAUUCUCGUACUUUUACGUUUAGUUUUUGUUUUUGUUUAUUGCAGGUUUUUCUUUUAGUGCAUGCCCCAUACUAGAAGUUCUGGUCAACCGUUAUUACCAAUCAAUCCGGAACCACAACGAAUCAGAAGAAUGGAAGCACAAGCGGAAAUCGACAGGAUGGCUGCUCAACAUGAGCAAGCAAGAUUAGCUGCUCUUGCCGCUGCUCAAGUCCAACAACAAAACAUUGAUAAUCCUGGACGAGCAACAAAUCCUGACGAUGAAGAUUUAGGAGAUGACGAGUUGAUCAACCCAAGGCAUGGCGCUGAAAUGGCAACACCUACCAACAGACGAGGUCGACAAGCUCGGUACAGAUAUGAUCGCCAACCUUUGCAACCAGCUUUCGACGAUGAUGAUGAUGAUCUUGAUGGUGCCGGAGCCACUGGAGCUAUAAUUCCACCACCAUUAGCGCCCGGAGCCAAGUUCAACAUCACUAGCACCAUGAUUCAGUUAUUGCAACUCAAGGGAUUAUUUGGUGGACUAGCAGGCGAUGAUCCGAAUAUGCAUCUCAUCAACUUUAUUUCUACAUGCAAGUCUUUUGACAAUCCUGGAGUUGGUCAGAAUGCUAUUCGAUUACGUCUAUUUCCAUUGUCUCUGUCUGGGGAGGCAACAUUAUGGUUGAAUGGGCUGACUCCUGAUUCUAUUACAAAUUGGAGGCAAUUGAGAGACGCUUUCCUAGAAAGAUUCUUUCCGCCAUCCAAGAGGGCUCAAUUGAGAGAUGAAAUCAGCAACUUUCGUCAGCUUCCCUCUGAAGCUCUUCACGAAACAUGGGAGAGGUUCAAGACAAAGCUAGCGAGAUGCCCAAACCAUCACAUGACUAAUGUUCACCUCAUGGAGAUCUUAUAUAGAGCCUUGAAUUCAGUAACUAAACCAGUGGUGGACAACGCAGCUGGAGGUUCUUUUAUGGACCUCACCUUUGGUCAAGCAAGCAACAUGCUAGAUCGUAUGACGAAACAAAGUAGAGCUUGGCAUACCAGGGAUUCUGAGGUAGCAAGCCCCACUUUAUCUAUUGGCAUGUCUGCAGAUCAAAGAAGGAGAGAAGAAGAACGUGAUCAAGAUAUGGCGCACAUGAAAACCCAAAUGGAUCUUCUUACAAAGCAUCUAUUAGGGAAGACUGAAAAAGUGAAAUCUAUUGCGUCAAAAGGAAGAGACGAAUCUGAUUCAGAAGAGGAGGCCAACUACUUGAACAAUCAGGGGGGUUUCCGUGGGAAUGCCCAAGGAAACCAAGGUCGGAACUAUUAUGACAAAUCUGGAGGUAAAGACCAAGGUAGUUGGAAGAAAAAUAAUGAAAACAGUGGUUUGUACGUUCCCCCUGGUAGACGUGAUACCACCACAUCUAAUUCUAUGGAAGACAUGAUGGCUAAGUUAUUGAAAGGAGUGGAAGCGACGAAUGCGGGAGUUAAGGAGGUGAUUGACGAUUUGGCCUCCAUGAAGCAAUUAGUUGAUUCUCAUUCCACUUCUAUCAAGCAACUAGAGCAGCAAUUCAGUCAACUUUCAGCAACACUCAACCAAAGAAAAGCCGGCACCUUGCCUAGCGAUACGGUGCAAAAUCCAAGGACUGAUGGGUCAUGCAUGGCCAUCACUACGAGGAGUGGUAAGGUGCUGGAAACUUCAGCAGAAGGCAAGCAAAUAGUUGACAGAACAGCAGACACAACCGCCACACCUAGUGACGCCACUAGGGAAGACGCCGCAAUAUCCACUUCCAACGUCAAGGACGUGUUGCCUAGUGACGUGCAGCCUGAAAAAAGUAAUAAACGGAAGCAAGAGGAGAAGAAAGCCAUGGAAAGAACACUUCCAUACCCACCACCACCUUUUCCACAAAGACUGAAGAAGGCGGCCGAUGACACUAAGUUCAGCAAGUUCAUGACCAUCUUGAAGCAGCUGACUAUUAAUGUCCCAUUGGUAGAGGCACUUGAACAAAUGCCUGGGUAUGCGAAGUUUAUGAAAGAUCUUUUGACUAAGAAGAGGGCAGCAAGCUAUGAGCUGAAAGAAGAUGUGCAUCAUUGUAGUGCAAUAGCUACCCGAUCCAUAGUUCAGAAGAAGGCCGACCCCGGAGCUUUCACUAUUCCUUGCACCGUCGGAUCUUUGGACUUUGCUAAAGCAUUAUGUGACUUAGGAGCCAGCAUCAACUUGAUGCCAUUAUCAAUCUACAAGAAGUUGGGGUUGGGAGAUCCUACACCAACUAAUAUGAAGCUUGUUAUGGCGGAUAGGUCGGUAAAACGACCGGUUGGUAUUCUAUGCGAUGUCUUGGUGAAGGUAUCUUCAUUCAUAUUUCCAGCAGACUUUGUCAUCUUGGAUUGCGAAGCAGAUUCAGAGGUUCCCAUAAUCUUGGGACGCCCUUUCCUUGCUACGGGAAGUGUGCUCAUAGAUUUGAGAGCUAAUGAACUUUCAUUCCGAAUAAAUGAUGAAGUGGUGCGCUUUGAUGUUUGCAAAUCAAUGAAGCAACCCAAAGAUCUAAGUGUAUUUUCUGUGACUGAUGUUGUCGUUGAUGACGAGGAUGAGUUACUUGCUGAAGAACAAAUUCUUGAUGAUCCUUUGGAGGUUUUGCUCAUGGAAGAAGAUGAUGAUGAUGCUGAAAUUUCUGAAGAUGAUAUUUGUGCUCUAUCGGGAUUAGGAGCAUAUCGCUAUCCUCCUAAGAAGCUGGAUAUUGAUCUCAAGAAUCGACCCACACCACCAGCUAAGCCAUCUAUUGAAGAACCACCCACAUUAGAAUUAAAGGAGCUGCCAAGCCAUUUGAAGUAUGCAUUCUUAGGAAGCGGAAACACUCUUCCAGUCAUAGUGGCAGCCGAUUUAGGUGAGCAACAAGUUGCAGCUCUUAUUGCAAUUUUACGCAAGUAUAUUAGAGCUAUUGGAUGGACCAUUGCGGAUAUCCUUGGUAUUCCACCUGGAAUUUGCACUCAUAAAAUUCAGCUCCAAGAAAAGUGCACACCCACCAUCGAACACCAAAGACGUCUAAACCCACCAAUGCAAGAGGUGGUGAAGAAGGAGAUUAUCAAGUGGUUAGACGCAGGAGUUGUGUAUCCUAUUUCUGAUAGUACAUGGGUAAGCCCAGUACAAUGUGUUCCCAAGAAAGGAGGUAUGACGGUGGUUGCGAAUGCAAAGAAUGAGCUUAUUCCACUCAGGCCCGUCACUGGAUGGAGAGUAUGCAUGGACUACCGCAAGCUGAAUUCUUGGACUCUCAAGGAUCACUUCCCCAUGCCAUUUAUGGACCAAAUGCUAGAUCGAUUAGCGGGAAAAGGAUGGUUUUGCUUUCUUGAUGGUUAUUCAGGUUAUAAUCAGAUUUUUAUUGCACCAGAAGACCAAGAGAAGACAACGUUUACAUGCCCAUAUGGUACGUUUGCCUUCAAACGUAUGCCAUUCGGGUUAUGUAAUGCACCAGCCACCUUUCAGCGAUGUAUGAUGUCUAUUUUCUCUGAUAUGGUAGAAGACACUUUGGAGGUAUUUAUGGACGACUUUUCAGUUGUUGGGGAGUCUUUCGAAGCAUGUUUGGUGAAUUUAAGCAUGGCAUUACAAAGAUGUGUAGAGUUCAACCUUGUGCUGAAUUGGGAGAAGUGCCACUUCAUGGUAAAAGAAGGAAUUGUUCUUGGGCACAAGAUCUCCGAAAAAGGAAUAGAGGUUGAUCGCGCCAAAAUAGAGGUAAUUGAGAAGCUACCACCUCCAAUUUCGGUGAAGGGAGUUCGUAGUUUUCUUGGCCAUGCUGGGUUUUAUCGUAGAUUCAUCAAAGACUUCUCCAAAAUUUCUAGUCCAUUAUGCAAGCUAUUGGAGAAAGAUGCGAAGUUUGACUUUAAUGAUGAUUGCUUAAAGGCAUUUGAAUGCCUUAAAGAAAAACUCGUUGAAGCCCCUAUCAUGGUAACACCAGAUUGGACGCUCCCGUUCGAAGUCAUGUGUGAUGCUAGUGGUGUAGCCGUUGGUGCUGUUCUUGGACAGAGAAAGGAGAAAUUAUUUCAUCCUAUCUACUAUGCGAGUAAGGUCCUCAAUGAAGCCCAAAGGAACUACACCGUCACUGAACAAGAGCUAUUAGCGGUUGUGUAUGCGUUUGAGAAGUUCCGCGCCUACCUAUUAGGUACUAAAGUGAUCGUUCAUACAGACCAUGCAGCUCUUAGGUAUCUAAUGACAAAGAAGGAUGCAAAACCAAGGCUGAUUCGAUGGGUGUUGCUGCUGCAAGAGUUUGAUUUCGAAGUCAAAGAUAGAAGAGGUUGCGAGAACCAAGUGGCUGAUCACCUAUCUAGACUUGAGAAUGAGUAUGUGGCGCAAUCAGAAAAUCAGAUUGGCGAUGCAUUCCCUGACGAGGAGAUAUUAGCGACAACAAUAGAAGACUUACCAUGGUAUGCCGACUUUGCGAAUUUCGUGGUGAGUAAUGUGUUACCUACAAAUUUAUCUUACCACCAGAGGAGGAAGUUUAUGCAUGACGUUCAGCACUAUUAUUGGGAUGAGCCUUAUUUGUUUCGAAGAUGUGCGGAUGGUAUCAUUCGACGAUGUAUAUCCCAUGACGAAGUGCCCACUAUAUUAGAAGCAUGCCACACUUCGCAAGUUGGAGGACAUCAUGCGGGUAAUCGAACAGCAAGAAAAGUCUUGCAAAGUGGUUAUUAUUGGCCUACAAUAUUCAGAGAUGCACACGACUAUGUGAGAAGGUGUGACCAAUGCCAACGUCAAGGUGUUAUUUCAAAACACCAUGAAAUGCCCAUGUCCACAAUCCUGGAGGUAGAACUCUUUGAUGUAUGGGGUAUUGAUUUCAUGGGACCAUUCGUAAAUUCGUUUGGAAUGAAGUACAUCUUGGUUGCUGUGGAUUAUGUGUCGAAAUGGGUUGAAGCUGUAGCAUUGGCCGAUAAUGAAGGAAAGCGUGUUGUAGCGUUUUUAAAGAAGAAUAUCUUCUCUCGCUUUGGGGUACCUCGUACUAUCAUAAGUGAUGGAGGAUCUCACUUCUGCAACAAGCUAUUCAAAUCUGUAUUGGCCAAGUAUGGAGUCAAGCAACACAAGGUAGCUACGCCUUAUCAUCCCCAAACUAGUGGACAAGUAGAGGUUUCCAAUCGGGAGAUCAAGCAAAUCCUUGCCAAGACGGUCAAUGCGAAUCGGAAGGAUUGGUCUCGGAAGCUAGAUGAUGCACUAUGGGCGUAUAGGACUGCAUUCAAGACACCCAUUGGCAUGUCACCUUAUCAGCUAGUUUAUGGGAAGGCUUGUCAUCUACCCAUCGAGCUUGAAUACAAGGCAUUAUGGGCAUUGAAGCACUUGAAUCUGAAUUGGGAUGAUGUGAAGAACCUGAGGUUGGAGCAGCUGAACGAGCUAGAUGAAUUCCGUCUCCAUGCUUAUGAAAGAUCAGAUUUAUACAAGGAGCGGAUGAAGAAGUAUCACGAUCAGCGGAUUGUUCGACGACACUUCCAAAAAGGUGACAUGGUGCUACUCUUUAACUCCAGAUUCAAGCUCUUCCCAGGUAAGUUAAAAUCAAAGUGGUCUGGUCCAUUUAAAGUCACCCACGUCUACUCGUUUGGAGUAGUCGAAUUGGAAAAUAAUGAGGGUGUUAUCUUCAAGGUGAAUGGCCAACGUGUUAAGCCAUAUAUCGGUCCUCUUGACUCGAUAAAUGACAUGGCCAUCACUUAUCUCGACGAAGUCUAAGUACUCGAGAUUACUACGUCGAGCCACGACAAUAAAUAAGGCGCUAGAUGGGAGGCAACCCUUCGUUUUAUUGUUUUAUCGUUUUGUCGUUUUAGUAUUUUUUCUUUUUGAUAAAUGAAAAUCCAAAAAUAAGAGUCGUGCCACGACCAAAACUAAGGCGCUUGGUGGGAGGCAACCCAUCGUACUAAUCGUUUUCAUUUGUUUGAGCAAAUAUAGGUGUAAGAAGUAUGCAACGAGGAGAUUGAUUUCAAUUGACGAUUUGGUCGCGUCGUAUGGUAAAGGCGGUAAGUUAGGAAUGGUGAUGCAUAAGGCUAUGAAUUGAGCCUUUCUCACGUCAUAAUAGGCUUCGAGGAAGGCUAGGCCUUGGUAAAAAUAGGCCACGAACGAUGCACAACCUAUUCUAUAGCCUAAGGACUCGGAAUCUAGUGUGCUAUACCCUAUGCGCCGCCUAUUCCUAGGUGUGCUUUUGACUAUGCGCCGCCUAUGUCCCAUUAUGCCAUGGACAAUGCGCCGCAUAUACAUGUGAUAUGCCGAGGGAUAUGCGCCGCAUAUAGGGUGAUUUUGUCCCCAAAUCCGAUUGUAAAUGGGUCAUAACCCGACCCAUACUCCUCCUAUAUAAAGGGGACUUGUUUUUAUUUCACAAACACAUUAGAAUCAACCCUAAAGGCGCCGCAUAUCAUCCCAAAUCCUCUCAAAUUUUUCUUCCUUUGUUCUUCCAAUCCACAACAACUUCUCCACAAUCUUCAAGCAAGUAAGUGCUCUCUUAUUCUUCAUCUAUUUAUCAUGAGUACUACUUUACUAUGCUUAUUAUUAAAUGCUAAAUCACGUGAGAUUAGUGGUGAUGUUCAUGUGCUUGGAUAAUUGUUGCAAAAAUCGUAUGAUUGAAUGAAUACGAAUGCAAUUCUUGACUUGUUUCCGACUUGAAUUUUGUUUCAAUGGCAUUGUUAUGAUACUUGCUGAACAUAUAUGGCUAUGAAUAUUGCUUGAAAGUGUUGUUUGGAUGCUUGCAUGAUUCACCACCCCGGCCAUCGGGAUACGGUUAUAGUGACUAUCCACGUAGGAGGUAGUGUUGGUUGUUCGAAUAGCAAUUCCAUGUGGUAACUCCUAUGUUAUAGUAUCGCUAUAUGCACCAUGAAAGACGUCCAAAUGGCUGUUCAUAAGUGAUGUCAUGCUGAUUUUCUUGUCGGAAUACAAUCCGAGGACGUAUGUCGACGAAGUCUGAGUACUCGACCACUUUCACUUCACUGAUUUUUGCUAACAAGAUUAAGUGUGGGGUGGUACCCCUAAUGCUUGCAUAUAGAAUUGUCUAAAGUGCGAUUGUGCCGCAUCUAACAUUAUUUCUAGUCUCAGGUACAAUGGCACCGAAAGCAAGGCAAGGCAAGGAGAAGGCUACCACAACCCGCAAGGACAAAAAGAGAAGCCGAAAAGACCAAGGCGAAUCAUCUUCCGCACACCUACCACGCAGAAUGUUCGGAAUCAAAUGGGUUCUUGAGGAAGAAGCCAAGGCAUGGUACAGCAGCAACAAAGAAAAGAAAUAUGUGCACGUCGACUUAAUCAAUAAGGAGACCUUAGCAAAGAAGGAGCCGCAAAUGUUGGCUAAGAUUAUGGCUUUGAAGCUGGAUUUCAUCUUCCGUGACAUGGGAGAGUGCAAUCUUGACUUGACAAGAGAGUUUUAUGCCAACUGGUCGCCAAACACAACAGGCAACGAAGUCAAAAUUCGGGGCCAAGUGUUACAGCUUACAGCGGAUUGGAUCAACUCGUUUCUAGGCCUACCUUCGGUCGACACUGCACCAUACAAAGAGCUGUACAGCAGACCUCCUUACAGAGCUAUAAGACACACGCUUUGUGGAAGCAGAUCGAUGGCGAGAUGGGGCAGACAUAAGGAAACAGGCCGUCACAACACAUUCCCCUAUGCUCCACUAAAUAGGGAAGCAAGAAUCUGGAUGCGCAUUGUCAACUCAUGCCUCAUUCCUGGGACGCAAUACACAAAGAUAUCGAGAGAUAGAGUGUGCCUGGUUUAUUCAUUAAUGACGAAUGUCCCUAUCAACUUUGGGGCAAUCAUUCGAUCCACCAUGAGGAAAGCCAGACUCCACAGCAGGUCCUAUUUCACAUUCGGCAAUUUGUUGACAGCAAUGUUGCGGAAGGAGGAUAUAGAAGAGGAACCAGCUGACCACAAACUCCCACAUACCCCAAAGAAGGUUGACCUCACCAAGGUCAAAGAUGCUGAAACAACGCAUGGAGUCAACCUUACCACUGCGGAGAGACAUGCUCGUGACGAGAGUUUCUUCCGUCAUCUCUAUGGCAUGACGAGAUUCACUAUGAUGAGUGGUGGACGUAUUCCAACUGCUGAAGAGCUCCAACAGCUGGACCACGACUACCCAAUGAACAGACAUGCCCGGGAGAUGUGUGGAGUGGGAGUAUAUUUCGAGGAACCUCUUGAUGAUGACGUGCCAACUGAUGAUGAUAGACGCUUGCCUGAUUCUGAUGCUGAGGAGAACUCUGACGAUGACUCUUACGAUGACUCGAACGAAGGGGGUAUGACAUUGAGGAAGAGUCCGACUAAUCAGGUUCUUCGACUUUAUUUUCCACUGAGGGCAGUGUCUAGUCUAAGUGUGGGGUGUCGGCAGAAUCUGCAUGCUAUAUUUGUAUGUUUGCUUGUUUAUUUUGUUUUAUUUAUUUUGUUUUGAGUCCGAUUUUUUUUGUGAUUUUUUUCGUGUGACGUUUUUUUUUAGUUUUUAGUAGUUAAAAUUUUUCUAGCCUCGCAUGAAAUUAUUUUAAUAGGCAGCAUGAGAUUAUAACAAUAGUAUGUAUUACAAUUGUGACUAUUGAGACAUUUAGGCUCUAGUUGUGACUCAUUAUGUGAUAGUGUGUGAUUCAAUUCCUUCACUUGUUGGGUUGAGAGUCUAUAUUGCUACCAAUCAAGUCGACCAUGUGCCUUGUGUGUGUGAGAUAAUAGUAUAUUCUAUGUAUGUGGCUGAUGCUAGAACUUGCCUGGUAUGUAUGCAAAGCGAAAAUAAGGAGUGUAAGUUUAGGAUAUGAUUUAGGCAUUUCUUUGGCAACCUAUAUUUGUUUACCUUCAGUUUUACCUACCCAUGGACAUCAUCCUAGUUAAACCCUUUUGAGCCUUUAGCCUAUUUCUUUGACAACCUUGUAUGUAAGCCUAAUUCAUUUUUUUUCAAGACCGUAAUUUGAUCCAAAUUCCUAAGUGCUUUAAAGUAAAAAAGUCAUGUGACAACAUAAGAGGAAAUUGGUUGAGUAUGAUGCUUUAAAUUGUAAUGGUGCUUGAAUAUGUUAUGAAAAAGAAAGUGCUAUCAUAAGAGGUAUGUUGUGAGAAGAAAAAGGAAAAGAAAGCUGAAAAGUGAGUUGUGCUUUAAAAUUGAAAAACAAAAGAGGAGAACAAGGGUGCUACAAAAAAAGUGUCAAUAAUACAAUGUGAUGUAUUAAAGUGCUUAGGAACUUAGUCACUAUUUCUGGCCAAAAUAGUUGAUCCUACCCGUCCCUUAGCCUACAUUACAACCAUCAAAAGACCUACUUGAUCCUAACCUUAACAUUCCGACAUUUAGUGGAGUACUACAUUAAGGGCAAGCCUAUGGUCAUUAGCUGCUACAUAUGAAUUCUUUGUGAGAGUGAGCGCAAGGAUACUUUGCUGCCCAUGUUUGAAAAAUAUGCUAUACUUGUGAGUGAUUAUGGGUACUAUAUUGUGAGACACACAUGGUUGAUGAGUUUUGGAUAGUUGUAUAUGAUUCUAUGUACCUUAAACGUUUGCAUGCGAGUUGAUCACCAUCACGAGUCUAUGCUUGAGGUUAAAUUGUUUCUACUUAUAAUCGGAAAGCUACUCUUCGUUGAUAAUUGUUGUGCUUGUCUUGAAGAAUGUUUUGUGUUGUUUCUGUAAAAACCUUAAGUCAAUGCUUAGAAGGACAUGAUAUGUUGUUCGAGGACGAACAAAGCUCUAAGUGUGGGGUGUUGAUGAUAGGCGAAAUUACGCGCCUAUAUCAAUAUAUUUUGCCCAUAUUUUAGCCUAGUUUCGAGAACUAAUUAUCUAUUUCGUACACUUUUAGUCCUUUUUCCUGUAAAUGAGCUAACAAAUGUGAUUAGGAAAGUUUCAGGUAUAAAUGAUGCAAAAUACAGCAAUUUAUGGCUUACUUGACGCAAAAGAAAGCUCACAAACGAGAUGGAAAGGAGCUGGACGCAUAAAGGACUAAAUCUGCUGCAUGGAAAAUCUGUCCCGGGCUAAAACAGCAUUUCUGAAGACUUUGGGACUUACAGACACAAAGCUGGAUUUUUGCCAUAAUACAUUAACCUAGUGCAAUUAGGUUAUGUGUUUCAUCAUUCUAUUUGGAUUAUAAUUUUGUAACCUUACCCUAGUACAAUUGGGUCAAGGAUUUCAUUAGUAUAUUAGGAUUUGGUUAUUUAUUUUAUUAGUUUAGUAGGAGUAGGAUAGGAGUAUUAUAAAUACCCUAUCAUGUUAGAGAUUUUCAAGAAGGGAGACAUUCUGACAAUUCAUUCAUCUCCUUACAAUUAAGACAUCUUCCUACAACCCAUUCUCAAUUCUUCAUUCUUCUACUCUUAAAUUCCACAACAAGAGAAUCGUUACUUGCUACGGAAUCACUAAAACCACACGCCAAACACCUACUAUUCACGCCAUCCACCAUGCAAAACGUGAUAUCCUUCGCAUUCAUGGGUAACUAAAUCUCUUAGUUGGGGUUAUGGAAGCCGAAUGAGUUACUAUCUAUAGCUAUGAGUUUGUGAGUUCAAGACAAGUAUAUUGCUUAUAUCAUUAUUCUCUUCAUCUUAAAUCUACAUUCUUUGCGGUUCAAACACAAGAACACGCCAUUCUAACAUCUAACCUGUUCGAGAGAAAGGUUAUUUGUCUAGAAAAGAAGACGCAUAGACCAACGCCAGUCUAACAUCUGACUUGUUCGAGAGAAAAGUUAUUUGUCUGGAAAAGAGAUAAUGUCAAGGUAGUAGGACACCCUUUCCUAUUAAAAAGCUAGUGCCGUACCUGGACUAACUUCUUGGAGAAUUCGUACCGUUAGUCACGCUUUAAGCUCGAGAGAGUUAAAGUGAAAUAGUCCUUGUUUAGGUCGAGAGACGCUUGGAUUUACCAUCGACUACAAUUCUCUAUAAGCAAUUACAUGUCAAGACUCUACACACUCAUAGCCAAUAGAGACGUAUACCUCAGAAGGUGGACAUAACCCCAACGCCUCAAUUCUCAUUGUUUACAACACACGUGACAAUCUCUCUUUAUUUUGCUAUUUUCAGUUCUUACAUUCUUGUUUUGGUUACAUACUACAAUCCCCCCUUUCCUACGAGACUUGCACUAAAAGUCUAGUAAUUUCUCUUGCUUGUUGGCCAAGCUAUUCUCUGUGGGAUCGAUACCCAACCCAGGUUGGGUUCUAUAUUUGCUAACGACCGCUUUACACUCCCACGAGAGCUGUAGAUUGAGCGUUAUCAAUUAACUGACGGAAUGCUACUGAGAUUAGUGAAUUACUGAGCUUUUUGAGAUUGCUGAGAUUACUGAGUUUACUGAGUUUUCCUGAGUCACAUCACUGACUAUGAGUAUCUUGAAAGCAUGACACUAGCUCUAGGCACACAGCUAAAUUUUUGAGUACAAGUAACCCUAGAACUCGAUAGAAGGAAACUGACAAAGCAUGACACUUCUUGAACAUAUGAGCAAUACCAACAAUCCGUACUACAAUAAUUUAGGGACUUCAUGAGGCACAUGGUUAUCAUAGUUUGGUACGUGAAUAGGAUUGCAUGUAAACAUGGCAUAAUUUCAUAAGGCUAAUUCAUGAGCAGCCCAAUGAACAAUUUCAAUACAUAAGAAUAACAUGGAGCCACUUUUAACAUAAGAGAAUAACAUGCAUUUACCAUUUAGGUCAUAAUUGAACUAGCAUGCAUAAUUCCUAUCCUCGUAGGGAUUUUACUAAACACCUUGCAUGCACCAUUUAGGGAAUAGGUAUGGUUAUCAAUUAGUACAACAUGAUUCCAUAAUUCAACCUAAAUUUCAUAAUUUCAACUCACAUACUAGCAUAAUUUCAUGAAAACAUAAUAAAAAUUCUAUCUUGGAAAUCACACAUCAAUAACAACAUGAACAUAAUCCAACUCAUCACAUGGAAUUUAUAAUUCAAUUUUUGAAAGAGGAUUCUUGAUAUUCAUGGAUGAAAGAAAUCCAUGAAUAAACACUAUGCAUACCUUAGUUCUUGAUUCUACAAAGAUUGACGGUAGAACUUUCUUAAAUUUGAAUCCCUAAUUGAAAACCCUAACUUAUUCUUGAGAGUUUUUGAGAGAAAAGAGUAUAUUUUGGCUUCAAAAUGGAUGAAUCUCGUGUUUAAGGGCUUAUAUAGGGAUAUAAAAAUGACCAUUUUUCCCUUCAAAGUUCGAGGCUGAAGUGUUGGAAAUUGGCCCAACGGGAAUACCCAGGGCGGUGCCCUGCCUAGACCCCCAGAGAACCUAGGGCGACGCCCUGCUUAGAGCGGUGGUCUAAGCUGAGGGGAGCAGGCUAAAUUCCUUUAGCUACUGGUUUGGGCACCCAAACAUUCCCUCUAUUCCAGAAAUUCUGAAACUCACCCGGAAUAUACUAUUGACUUACCCCAUCGUAAUGCAACUUGAAAAUUAAAAUAGAGGUUGGGAAGGUCGUGAAAUAGUUCCCCAAAGUUUGAAAGCUUAAAAUAAGACUAAGUGUAAAACACUUAGCUAAAAUAUUCUAAGUGUUGGAUCUCUCAUAGAGCUUAAGGGGCGGGGUCUUACACUGGCUAACUGAGUAAACUUAAGAGAGUAUUCUUUUACACUCAUGCUACCCUGUCUGAGGUUGAUGAACUCUAACACUUUGGCUUCUUUCUUAUCUUGGAGAAAUAAUCUAUCUAAGAAGGUUUUAGCAAACUCUUCCCAUUCUAUGGGCUCUACAUUUGUACCCCUAUCUACUUUCCACUUCAUAAACCACGUAUGGGCUACAUCUUGUAGCUGAUAGGUGUCUAACUCAACACUCUCACUAGAAGUCACUCCCAUAAUAUCUGUGACUUUCUGAACUUGGUAGUAGAAAUCCUAUGGAUCCUCUUUGGACUUAGAACCUGAGAAUAGGGGAGGAUUCAUUUGGGUAAAGUCCCAAAUCUUGGCUGUAGCAGAAUUGCCACUGGGCUGGCCGAAACUGUAGUUGGUCGUUCAUUCUGAGCUGUGACUAAAUUAGCUAGAGUAGUAAAUAUAGUACUAAAUUUUGCAUGGGAAACAUGCUCGUUCAGAGGAUCUGCCUAUACGGGCUGAGGUGUUGACUGAUUCUAAGUUCUUCUUUCGUUAGACCUUUUGGGAGGCAUGUUCUGUAGAAGAAAAGGAGAAAUAGAUUAGACUGGGAGUUAAUUUGAGCCCAUGGUCACUGGCACAAUAUGAAUACUGAAAGAAGGGAAACUUUUCCACAUCUUAUAGACUCUUGUACAUAAAUGUGGGGCGCGCAAAACACCCAUGCACAAGACUCUACUAGAUGUGGCUUUUCAGACUUCCUAGGACACUAUUGAACCUAUCUGUAAUACCAAGUUUAUAAUGUCCUGAUCCUGGUUCCCCAAACUCUACACGGUGCUAACAAUCCUGAAGGACCACUAUCUAACCCAUGAUUUGUACCUACUACAAUAACUAUAUAAUAGUAUUGAAAUAUGCAAAAACAAUGGGCCGAAAUUCCAUAAAGUUCAAAAUUGUAUCAUACUGAAUAAAAUAAUGUCUGAAUGAUGUAUAAAAUACCCAAAACUAUGAUAAACUGUCUAAACAUAUUGUAGUUUGAAAGCCUCUACUACUGAACUAUCUGAAUAAGGAGUUGAUGGUACAUAUCCCCAACUAACUCCAACUAUUGAAAUAACUAAGUACUGAAAUACUGAAAGAAUGAAAUAAUCACAUCCUCGAACUAUGAGGACUCACCACUAAAUCUGUCUGCUGAAUCCUGAGCUGAUAAGCUCGAUC
RNAcentral lists this long non-coding RNA (63942 nucleotides) under Capsicum annuum. RNAcentral describes it as "long non-coding RNA (CANN_LNC021422)". The record is from RNAcentral. Lineage: Eukaryota; Viridiplantae; Streptophyta; Magnoliopsida; Solanales; Solanaceae.